AUAGUGUUCCUCCUCAACGCACCGUAGCUAAUGUACCUGCUCGUGGCUAAGAUGCGCCGGUUGAUCUCCGAGUCCAUCUGCAUCUCCGCAUCCUCGUCCUCGUCAGUUAUUAGUCCCCCCGCCGCCGAUCUCGUCGAAGCCCAGCUCAGGUCGCCCAGCUGGUGGCCCCCGCUGAAAUCAACGGCCGAAGCUGAAGCAAUCACUACCAAAUGGGCGGCCAGGACUGCGCAGAUGAAGAUGCAGCCAAAGAGUGAUGGAGUUCUUGAGCUUGAGCUUCCCAUUAUUUUUUUUUUUCGGUUUUUGUCUAAAAUCUCAAGUUUCUGAGAGGCAGUGGUUUUGCAGAGUAGUUUGGGGGUUUAUAAACUUAGUGACCGUUGGAGAUAAAAUGCCACUGGGUUUGGGAGUAAUUACGGGGAAAUGCCACUCUACUGAUCAUCUUUGUAAGAAUGUCAAUGACUUUAUGGUCACCCAUUAAUCACGCUUCUUUUGACUUUAUUUGUACAUUUAAUUUGGGAAAUUAAUAAAACUGCCUUUUAUAUUCCUCUUAAUUUGGGUUGGUGGACACAUUUAUAUUGCUUUUAGGUAUCCUUUGGUAUGCAGACGAGAUGGGACGGAACAGAAUGAGACAGGACAUGAUGAGACGGAAUGAAGAGGGAGUAAAGAUGCCAUUGGAUGGAAAUAAGGAGGAAGAAGAAGAAGACGGAGAUGUUAUAAUUUUGUGUCCUACGGAUGUAGAACGAGAUGGGAUGAGUGGAAAAAAAAUUUACCCAAAAUUCAUCCCGUAAAACAGCUUUCACCCUUUUUAGGCGCACCCAACGUGGGACGGAACGUCUCGUCUGACUCUGUUCUGUCUCAUCUCACGUACCAAACAGUACCUUAGGUAUCGUUUGGUAUGCAGACGAGACGGGACAGGACGGGACGGGACGGAAAGGGAGCAAAGAUGUCAUUGAAUGGAAACAAGGAGAAAGAAGUAGACGACGGAGAUGUUAUAAUUUUGUGUUCCACAGAUGUGGAACGAGUCGUUCCAGGGGGUAAGGUGGAACGAAAAUUCACCUAAAACUCGUCCCAUGGAACAGCUCGGUCCACCCGUUUUAGUUUCACCCAUGGUUUAAAAUAUCCAUAAUAUUCCGAUAUUUCCAUUGAAAUUUCUGUGUUUUUGGACUACCGAUAUUUCCGAUAUCAUCGAUAUUUUAGACCUUGCUAAGUCAAUCAUGUAUCUUACCAUGCAAUGUAUAAAGUGUAAUAUUGUACCAAUUCAUUAUAUAUAAAUGAUUAUGGUGUGUUUAAACUUCUUUCAUUAAUUACUACAUAUUUUAUACACUCACAAUGUUUGCCAGCUCGCUAUAUAAUCAACUUAAAUCAGUUAUAUCUAUCAUGCAAUGCAUUUCCUUCCAAUUUUUUGUGAUAAACUAAUAGAUAAUUGACUAAAUAAAUAUCCUGCAAAGUUUCAAUAAAAAUUUUCAAGUUUUUCUUACAAUUUCCGUGAUUUUUAUUCAAUUUUUAUCGAUAUCGAUAAUAUCCCGAUAUUUUCAUCGAAAUUUUCGUGUUUUUGGAAUUAACAAAGCAUCGUAAUGAAUGGAGUGUUCAAAGGGACGAAAAUACAUGCUUCAACGUUAAAAAAAAAACACGUGAAAAAAUAUGUUGAAAACGUCAUAAGUCAGACGAUGAAAUGAUGAUGAAAUAUUACGUGGGUUAAAAGAUGUGUGUAACCAUUUUCAAAUGAGUUUGGGUUGUUGGAGAAUAUAUAAAAUCUGUCAAGUGAUUAGAUUGAUUUGCUGCAAUAACUGAUAGAAAGAAUGGAGUCAUAAUAUUGAAUUCAAACAUUCAAAUCAAAAGACUGAAGCCAACAAAUUUGUUUGAGAAAUACUAAGGAGAUUCUCUUAAAAUGAAACUUUUUAUGAAUUUUCUAUUACCUUACAGUUUAACGUUAAUUUCUAUACCAAUAUUAUAAAACACUAUACAAAAAAUAUAAUAUGACAGAGAGUAAUAAUUAUAUUUUUGAGCAAAUCUCUUUAUCAUCUCUCAACUUGUAAAUCAAAAUUUAAUAAGUUCGGAAAUCUCCAGCACAAGUCUUAAAUGGCAAAAACUCCGUACAAGGCUUAAAUAUAAGGUAAUGAAUAAGUAAUGAUCCAUGGUAAAUUCCAUGCUUACCAUGCUUAUAAGAAAUUUACGUCAAGGGUUAAAAACUUUUUGAUCACUAUGUUUUGGAUUGAAAUCGAAAUCUAUAUUGGUCAUUGUAUACCGAAUUUAGUUAAUUUGGUCAUUUGAAAUGUCAAAUUGGUAAUGUUUGACAACAAAAUGAUGAAAUUGGUUUAAAAACACACACACCAUUUUUUUUUGUUUCAAAACAAGGCAGAUUUUGAGGUUUCGCCCGUCAGACUACGUGUAUGUCCAGAUUUUGCUUUGGAUGUAGGUCAUAGUGUAAAAACUCAAAACUUUUUUUAAGACUGAUCGAGUUUAGUUUAUUAUUGUGAAGUUCUGUCACUGAGGCAUUUUGUCAAGAAUUUGGUGUCCCUAUCAACUUUUGUCGAGCUAUGUUGUCGAGCCUUGCUAACAUAUGUUGAAUAAUGAUGUUGAGGCCCAUCAAGUAUCACGUUUCGAGCCUUGUCGAUAUAUGCUGAACAUGUAUUUUAUCGAGUACUUGGUGGGUACUACCAAGUCUCAUGCUAAACUAACAUGGAGUUCAUGAAAGACCUUUUGAGUUACUUCCCGUAUUUUAGGGUCAUGGGAGACUAGAACCCAACUGGUCCCUUAAUGGAACCGCCAUUGUCCCACCUAAUUUUAGAGAGACGACAUUGUACACACGAUUAUCUUCCAGGGUGGUGCUAUUCACAUACCCUUUUUACAUUCCACACACCCUCUGUUUUCCGUCCGUUGACCAUCCUCAUUCAUUCAAUUUGCCGACAAAAAAUUAAGAGAGAUGUUUGAAGUAAAAAAUGGUGUGUGGAUAACAUCACCCAUCUUCUAAAAUACAAUGCCAACAAAGAUUUUUAAUCGCCGAUUUUUGGGCCAAUAGGAUUUCGUCUGAUAGGCCCAGUUUAUAGUUAUCACUGUCGCACUCCUCCUCGGCAUAUAACGAACGCAGAUUUUUGUUUUGGGAUUGGGAGUUGAGGGUUUUGGAUUAAAUUUAGUGGUGUUUGUGUGUGGAUGCAGCUCGGCGACGAACAGGCUGAUCACCUCCAAGGACCACGCUUCUGUUCAGAUCAACGUUGGGCAUUUGGAUGAGCAUGGCAUCUACACUGGCCAAAUCUCACAUGUUGAAUGACUGGCUGCGGUCGAAAAUCCUAAACUAUGCCAAAACAAUGACCAUUUUUUCAGCUAUGAUUUUCUUUAUUACAUCAGGAUACAAUGCAAGUUUGCAAUUACAGUUUUUGAAAUUGUUCAAUUACUGAGAAAUUUAAACUAAGUAUGAAGUUGUUCGAUUAUUCUGAUAUUGGGUUACGGCAAGUUUGUUUGAUUAGGUUUUCAUUCGAAAAGGAAAAAGAAACACAAAAAAAUAUAGGCACUACUUCUAAGAUAGGAUAACAAUAACAAGAAUUGCUUAAGAAACGAUAACGCCUUCUUCCACUCCAAGCUUUCUUCGAGUCUCGGCUCUCCCUCUUGACUUUACUUUCUUUUUCACCAUGUUAAUUAGUGUGUAUUUUUAUUUUUGAAUCCGUCAUUCGCAAUUUGGCAUUCCAUUUGUUCUGCUCUGAUUUCCUUUGCACACUUUCUCCUGGCAGAAGAAGAAAACCCAAGUUAAACAACAGUAGAAGGAGAUGAUGAUUUUUCUUGCUUCCUCGAACCUUCGGUUCUUGGGGAUGGAAGUAAGGGGUGGAUAUUUUUGCCAAAUUGCCGUACCUACCGAAUUGUCAACCGUGUCAUACUGAUUUUGUGCCAAUCGGUAAUGGUACGGUAUUGUACCGUACCAAAUCUUCAUGGUAUGGUAUUAGUAAUAGAUACCAUUACCACGGCGUUACCAUACCAUACCGAAAAUAUAAUAUAAUAUAUAAUUAUAUUAACACAUAUUUGUAAUAUUCCAUUGCUUGCUUGAUUCCUAUAAUGAGUAUAGGAGAUUAAAAAAUGGUUGCUUGAUUUGUAUAAAUGAGUGUAGGAGGGGUUCUUCUACUACUAUUGGGGCUCCCUUGGAAGAUGUGGAACUAAAUGAGGAGUUCAUAAUUCAAGCUUGUGGGGGUGAUGAGAACAAAAUUGAAAUGAUGAAGGAGCUUAUACAUAAAAAAAGACCUGUUUAUGAAACUUAUUAUCUGGAUGGGAAUCAAGAACAAGAAAAUUCAAAGUUAGAAAUAUUAAAAAAAAGAAAAAAAGGAAUAAAAAAAUGAAUACAUAAGAUACAACAACAACAACAACAAAGCCUUUUCCCACUAAGUGGGGUCGGCUAUAUGAAUCCUAGAACGCAAUUGCGCUCGGUUUUGUGUCAUGUCCUCCGUUAGAUCCAAGUACUCAAGUCUUUUCUUAGGGUCUCUUCCAAAGUUUUCCUAGGUCUUCCUCUACCCAUUCGGCCCUGAACCUCUGUCCCGUAGUCACAUUUUCGAACCGGAGCGUCAGUAGGCAUUCUUUGCACAUGUCCAAACCACCGGAACCGAUUUUCUCUCAUAUUUCCUUCAAUUUUGGCUACUCCUACUUUACCUCGGAUAUCCUCAUUCCCAAUCUUAUCCUUUCUCGUGUGCCCAUACAUCCCACGAAGCAUCCUCAUCUCCGCUACACCCAUUUUUUGUACGUGUUGAUGCUUCACCGCCCAACAUUCUGUGCCAUACAACAUCGCUGGCCUUAUUGCCGUCCUAUAAAAUUUUUCCUUGAGCUUCAGUGGCCUACGACGGUCACACCACACGCCGGAUGCACUCUUACACUUCAUCCAUCCAGCUUGUAUUCUAUGGUUGAGAUCUCCAUCUAAUUCUCCGUUCUCUUGCAAGAUAGAUCCUAGGUAGCGAAAACGGUCACUUUUUGUGAUCUUCGCUAGAUUGCUCCGGUCAUUAGUGUGGAUAAGUAUAUAUAAAUGGAUAGAGAUAGGAAAGCAAACACAAGAUGUACGUGGUUCACCCAGAUUGGCUACGUCCACGGAAUAGAGGAGUUCUCAUUAAUUGUGAAGGGUUUACACAAGUACAUAGGUUCAAGCUCUCCUUUAGUGAGUACAAGUGAAUGAUUUAGUACAAAUGACAUUAGGAAAUAUUGUGGGAGAAUGAUCUCGUAACCACGAAACUUCUAAGUACCGGAGUGUGGUAUCGUCUUGACUUGCCUUAUCUGUCUCAUAGGUAGAUGUGGCAUCUUCUCUGGAAGUACUCUUCCUCCAUCCAGGGGUGGUAUCUGUAACUGGUGGAGAUGCACAAGGUAAUGUAUCAAUUUCACUUGAAGCUUACUUGUAGUUUCAGGCUUGGUCAAGCGCGAUACAAACCAUGUAGUAGGAGUCCCCCAAGUCGCCGAGCUAGGGGAUCUGCUGAAAGAGGUGACAGACAAGGUAAGCAAUCAGAGCUCCGGCUGAUUGUUCACAUUCUCCCUAUCUUGCAGGCAGCAUGAAGGAUAAAGAGAAGAAAAAUGAGAAGAGAUGAUAUGGGAUACUUUUGCUUUUGAAGAAGUAACUUUCCACAGGCUUAUUCUUGAACUGGGCUGGAGGGUUUUCUGGUUUCCUCCAGAGUAUAAGGCCGACUGAAGAAUUUGAGGGUCAAAACAAGUCCAUCAAAUCUAGAGUACGUUCGACCCUGCUGAUAUGGGAUACUUUUGCUUUUGACAGAGUAGUGGAUGUAUCGGCACGUGUGCUGUUACGCUUGUCUCCCACAUGCUUCCUUGUAUCCUUCUCACUUGCCCUAUCUGUUCCUCAGGCAGAUGCGGUAUCUUCCCUGGAAGCAUAAGAUGUUGAAGAUGAGUACUCGAGAGCAAUGCCAGGUAAGUAAUCAGGUAAGGGGUUCCAGGCAGUCAGUUCCUGGCUGGAAGCUUGAUUCCAAGUGCUGACUGAUUGCUCUCUUUCUCCUUGUCUUGCAGGUAAGAACAAGGCCAAAGGAAAAGACAGGGAAAAAGCAUGAUAUGGGAUACUCUUGCUUUUAACCCUGAUGAUAUGAGAUAUUCUUGCUCUAGUAUAGCUUGUUUACAGAGGUAUUAUCGGGGGGAAAGAAAGCUGAAUAUUUCGAAAGGCUUCGUUGGGAGUGCCCUCUCAGAUAAGAGGAAGGGUUGAGCAUUUUUGCAGGUCUGCCUGUCCGUUGGGGAUGGAGGUCGACAUAUAUAGGAGUCUCCCUAACAUCAAGUAAUAAUGCUAUUCCUUUACCCUGCUUGGUCAUAGCACGGUAGUGGGAGCUGCCAGCUUCACAUGUUUUAACUCUGUCAGAGCACUUUGAAAAAGUGGUCUGUGGUAUCUGGAAAGCUGAUGUGCGUGUGAAGAUUACAGACAAGCUUUAUCCAAGGAGAUCCAGCUCUUGAAGUUGGGAAAGUGGUGCCUCUUCGGUUUUCGAACAAGCAAUCCUGUCGGGGAUCUGGCUCUCGAGAUUCGGAGAACGAUGCCUCUUCGAUUUUUGAGAAAGCAAUCCUGCUGGGGUCUGGCUCUCGAGAUUCGGAGAGCGGUGUCUCUUCGAUUUUUGAGAAAGUAAUCAUGUUGGGAGUCUGGCUCUCGAGAUUCGGAGGGCGGUGCCUCUUCGAUUUUGGAGCAAGCAAUCUUGUUGGGAGUGUUUUCUCGAAUGUGAGUAAAGGUUGGGCAUGUUUGCUAGUCUACCUUGCCACGAAGCACAGAGGUUGACACACAGGGACUUUCCAAUUAUCCAGCAGUGGUACUGUUCCUUUACCCUCUCUUCGAUUUUUGAGAAAGUAAUCAUGUUGGGAGUCUGGCUCUCGAGAUUCGGAGGGCGGUGCCUCUUCGAUUUUGGAGCAAGCAAUCUUGUUGGGAGUGUUUUCUCGAAUGUGAGUAAAGGUUGGGCAUGUUUGCUAGUCUACCUUGCCACGAAGCACAGAAGGUUGACACACAGGGACUUUCCAAUUAUCCAGCAGUGGUACUGUUCCUUUACCCUCUCUUCGAUUUUUGAGAAAGUAAUCAUGUUGGGAGUCUGGCUCUCGAGAUUCGGAGGGCGGUGCCUCUUCGAUUUUGGAGCAAGCAAUCUUGUUGGGAGUGUUUUUCUCGAAUGUGAGUAAAGGUUGGGCAUGUUUGCUAGUCUACCUUGCCACGAAGCACAGAGGUUGACACACACCGGGACUUUCCAAUUAUCCAGCAGUGGUACUGUUCCUUUACCCUUGUGGGUAAUAAUAUGGUAGCUAGACCUUCAAAAUUUAUGUGUGUCUAAACUUUGUUAGUGUUGUUUCUUUGCUAUUCUUUUACCCUUCUUGGUCAGAGCGAUGUAGUGGGAGCUGCAAGCUUCACGUGUCUCAACUUUGUCAGAGAACUUUGGCAAAGUUAUCUGUGGUACCCAUGAGCUACUGUUGCGUGUGGGAAGUGGGUGAUUGAACAGUACGAUUCAUGUGCUUUCUACUUCGCCAGAAAUCUUCGACAGAAUGCCCAUAAUUUCCGCAAAGCUGAGUGUGCGUGUGACAGGUGCUGACAAGGCUGGAAAAGUAGGUGCCUCUUCGAUUUCUGAGAUCGGCCCUCGUGGUCUCUGAGCAGCCCAGCUUUUGAGAAAGCAAGCCUCUUCGAUUUCUGAGAUCGGCCUUCGUGGUCUUUGAGCAGCCCAGCUUUUGAGAAAGCAAACGCCUCUUCGAUUUCUGAGAUCGACCCUCGUGGUCUCUGAGCAGCCCAGCUUUUGAGAAAGCAAACGCCUCUUCGAUUUCUGAGCAGGCGCCUCUUCGAUUUCUGAAGCUUCGUCGAGUGCAGAUUUUUAUAGGGGCUGACAUUAAGUUCCAAAGCACACUUGAAUAUCCACCAGUAGAAGCUCCAUUCUUGCACUUCUAAGAUCUUGAUUUGUCCGACCUCUUCUCUCUUCAACACCUUUGAAAAUGUCUGGCCCCUCCGACCGUCGUUUUGACUUGAACCUUGUUGAAGAGGCAGCCCCGCCUUCUCCAGACAACAUAUGGCGCCCAUCCUUCGUCUCCCCUACUGGUCCUCUUACCGUUGGGGAUUCCGUGAUGAAGAAUGAUAUGACCGCUGCGGUAGUGGCCAGGAACCUUCUCACUCCCAAAGAUAACAGACUACUUUCCAAACGGUCUGAUGAGUUGGCUGUUAAGGAUUCUCUGGCUCUCAGUGUUCAGUGUGCAGGUUCUGUGUCUAAUAUGGCCCAACGCCUAUUUGCUCGAACCCGCCAAGUUGAAUCAUUGGCGGCUGAAGUGAUGAGUCUCAAACAGGAGAUUAGAGGGCUCAAGCAUGAGAAUAAACAGUUGCACCGGCUCGCACAUGACUAUGCUACAAACAUGAAGAGGAAGCUUGACCAGAUGAAGGAAUCUGAUGGUCAGGUUUUACUUGAUCAUCAGAGAUUUGUGGGUUUGUUCCAAAGGCAUUUAUUGCCUUCGUCUUCUGGGGCUGUACCGCGUAAUGAAGCUCCAAAUGAUCAACCUCUGAUGCCUCCUCCUUCUAGGGUUCUGUCCAGUACUGAGGCUCCGAAUGAUCCCCCUCCGGUGCCUUCUCUUUCUGGGGCUCUACCGACUGCUGAGACUUCUCCUAAGCAACCUUUGUGAAGGCUCCCUCUUGUUUGUUUAUUUUGACUCAAGUAUAUGUACAUAUUUGUAACUUAUCGGGGAUAUCAAUAAAUAAGCUUUCCUUCAUUUCAACGUAUUGUGUUAAAUACACCAAAGCCUUCUUCGCUAAGUUCUUUGAAUUUUCUUUUGUUGAAGCUUGUAUGUUGAAGCUUUGUGAGUGGAGCAUGUAGGUUGAGGUAGUGUUCCCUUUAAUUUCCCGAGUGAGGAAAACUUCUCGGUUGGAGACUUGGAAAAUCCAAGUCACUGAGUGGGAUCGGCUAUAUGAAUCUUAGAACGCCAUUGUGUUCUGUCUGUGUGUCAUGUCCUCCGUUAGAUCCAAGUACUCUAAGUCUUUUCUUAGGGUCUCUUCCAAAGUUUUCCUAGGUCUUCCCUCUACCCCUUCGGCCCUGAACCUCUGUCCCAUAGUCGCAUCUUCUAAUCGGAGCGUCAGUAGGCCUUCUUUGCACAUGUCCAAACCACCGUAACCGAUUUUCUCUCAUCUUUCCUUCAAUUUCGGCUACUCCUACUUUACCCCGGAUAUCCUCAUUCCUAAUCUUAUCCUUUCUCGUGUGCCCACACAUCCAACGAAGCAUCCUCAUCUCCGCUACACCCAUUUUGUGUACGUGUUGAUGCUUCACCGCCCAACAUUCUGUGCCAUACAGCAUCGCCGGCCUUAUUGCCGUCCUAUAAAAUUUUCCCUUGAGCUUCAGUGGCAUACGGCGGUCACACAACACGCCGGAUGCACUCUUCCACUUCAUCCAUCCAGCUUGUAUUCUAUGGUUGAGAUCUCCAUCUAAUUCUCCGUUCUUUUGCAAGAUAGAUCCUAGGUAACGAAAACGGUCGCUCUUUGGUAUUUCUUGAUCUCCGAUCCUCACCCCUAACUCGUUUUGGCCUCCAUUUGCACUGAACUUGCACUCCAUAUAUUCUGUCUUUGAUCGGCUUAGGCGAAGACCUUUAGAUUCCAACACUUCUCUCCAAAGGUUAAGCUUUGCAUUUACCCCUUCCUGAGUUUCAUCUAUCAACACUAUAUCGUCUGCGAAAAGCAUACACCAAGGAAUAUCAUCUUGAAUAUGUCCUGUUAACUCAUCCAUUACCAACGCAAAAAGGUAAGGACUUAAGGAUGAGCCUUGAUGUAAUCCUACAGUUAUGGGAAAGCUUUCGGUUUGUCCUUCAUGAGUUCUUACGGCAGUCUUUGCUCCUUCAUACAUAUCCUGUAUAGCUUGGAUAUAUGCUACUCGUACUCCUUUCUUCUCUAAAAUCCUCCAAAGAAUGUCUCUUGGGACCCUAUCAUACGCUUUUUCCAAAUCUAUAAAGACCAUGUGUAAAUCCUUUUUCCCAUCUCUAUAUCUUCCAUCAAUCUUCGUAAGAGAUAGAUUGCCUCCAUGGUUGAGCGCCCUGGCAUGAACCCGAAUUGGUUGUCCGAAACCCGUGUCUCUUGCCUCAAUCUAUGCUCAAUGACUCUCUCCCAGAGCUUCAUUGUAUGACUCAUUAGCUUAAUACCCCUAUAGUUCAUGCAAUUUUGUACAUCGCCCUUAUUCUUGUAGAUAGGCACCAAAGUGCUCGUUCGCCACUCAUUUGGCAUCUUCUUCGUUUUCAAAAUCCUAUUGAAAAGGUCAGUGAGCCAUGUUAUACCUGUCUCUCCCAAAACUUUCCACACUUCGAUUGGUAUAUCGUCUGGGCCUACUGCUUUUCUAUGCUUCAUCUUCUUCAAAGCUACAACCACUUCUUCCUUCCGGAUUCUACGAUAAAAAGAGUAGUUUCUACACUCUUCUGAGUUACUCAACUCCCCUAAAGAAGCACUCCUUUCAUGUCCUUCAUUGAAAAGAUUAUGAAAAUAACCUUUCCAUCUGUCUUUAACCGCGUUCUCUGUAGCAAGAACCUUUCCAUCCUCAUCCUUGAUGCACCUCACUUGGUUUAGGUCCCUUGUCUUCUUUUCCCUUGCUCUAGCUAGUUUAUAGAUAUCCAACUCUCCUUCUUUGGUAUCUAGUCGUUUAUACAUAUCGUCAUAAGCCGCUAACUUAGCUUCUCUCACAGCUUUCUUCGCCUCUUGCUUCGCUUUUCUAUACCUUUCACCAUUUUCAUCGGUCCUAUCCUUGUAUAAGGCUUUACAACAUUCCUUCUUAGCCUUCACCUUUGUUUGUACCUCCUCAUUCCACCACCAAGAUUCCUUUUGGUGUGGGGCAAAGCCCUUGGACUCUCCUAAUACCUCUUUUGCUACUUUUCGGAUACAACUAGCCAUGGAAUCCCACAUUUGGUUAGCUUCCCCCUCUCUAUCCACACACACACUGGGUGAUUACUUUCUCUUUGAAAAUGGCUUGUUUUUCUUCUUUUAGAUUCCACCAUCUAGUCCUUGGGCACUUCCAAGUCUUGUUCUUUUUUCUCACUCUUUUGAUAUGUACAUCCAUCACCAACAAGCGAUGUUGAUUAGCCACGCUCUCUCCUGGUAUAACUUUGCAAUCCUUACAAGUUAUACGAUCCCCUUUCCUCAUUAGAAGAAAAUCUAUUUGUGUUUUUGACGACCCACUCUUGUAGGUGAUCACAUGUUCUUCUCUCUUCUUAAAGAAGGUGUUGGCUAAGAAGAGAUCAUAUGCCAUUGCAAAAUCCAAGAUAGCUUCCCCAUCCUCGUUUCUCUCCCCAAAACCAUGGCCACCAUGAAAACCUCCAUAGUUGCCUGUCUCCCUGCCCACGUGUCCAUUUAAAUCUCCUCCUAUAAAUAACUUCUCCGUCUGAGCAAUUCCUUGCACCAAGUCUCCAAGGUCUUCCCAAAAUUUCUCCUUCGAACUCGUAUCCAACCCUACUUGAGGUGCGUACGCACUAAUCACAUUGAUAAGUUCUUGUCCUAUUACAAUCUUGAUUGCCAUGAUUCUAUCUCCUACCCUCUUGACAUCUACAACAUCUUGUGUCAAGGUCUUGUCCACGAUGAUGCCAACACCGUUUCUCGUUCUAUUUGUGCCCGAAUACCAUAGUUUAAACCCUGAGUUUUCUAGAUCCUUUGCCUUACGACCAACCCACUUAGUUUCUUGUAGGCACAUAAUAUUUAUCCUUCUCCUCACCAUAACUUCUACUACUUCCAUAGAUUUUCCCGUCAAGGUUCCUAUAUUCCACGUUCCUAAACGCAUUUUGCUCUCUUGAACUCUACCCUUCUGUCCUAGCUUCUUCACCCUUCCCCGUCUAAUAGGAUCAAAGUACUUCUUUUGUGUGUCCCGUGUAAAGUUGAUAGGAGCAUAUGCUCCCAAACAACUUUGAGUGGAGUCGUUCGAAAAGAAGUUUCUAUAGCCCCCUUGCUCAUUUAACACUGCAUCCGGGUGCCGAUGGAGAUACAGCGACCCUUGCUCACUUAUCACUGUGCUCGGGCCACACAGCGCGCCACUUACGGGUGACGCCCUAGCUUUAGCGCGAUUUCGUUCUGGAUUCAUUUUCAUAAGGAUUCGACGUAAUCAUGGAGUGCCGGCUGUCGACUACCUGACGCCCUCCCCCUCCUCCUUUAUCCGGGCUUGGGACCGGCAAUGUAAGAUAAACUUACACGGCGGAGUUAAUGAAUACAUAAGAUACAUACACUAAAAGAUAAGAUAGCUUAUAUGCCAUGGGAAGGUUACAAUUUUGAAGAUGCGGUACUCAUUAGUGAGCAUCUGGUAUAUGGAGAUAUUUAUACUUCUUUUCAUAUACGGAAAUAUGAAAUUCAGACUCAUGUAACAAGCAAUGGCCCUGAAAGAAUCACUAACGAAAUACAGCAUCUAGAAGCCCAUUUACUUUGCAAUUUAGACAAAAAUGGAAUUGUGAGGUUGGGAUAUUGGGUAAAGACAUGUGAUAUUUUAGUAGGCAAAUUAACACCUCAAAUGGCGAAAGAAUCGUUGUAUGCUCCGGCAGAUAGAUUAUUACGAGCCAUACUUGGCAUUCAUGUAUCCACUUCAAAGGAAACUUGUCUAAAAUCGAAACUUAAUAAGGGAUGAAGGAAAAAACCUAUAUACAUACAUAUAGUAUUGAAAUACUAUCUCAAAAUGAUUAAUGACGACCCAAAUCUGUAUUUUUUUUAUAUUUAUAUGAAAAAUGAAAGACUUGUUGUGAAUCAAUUAAAAAUUGAAAAAAGAAGUGAAUAUUCAUUGAUCAAAUCAUUCACUCCACCGUAGUCUAAUAGAUCUUUUUAAUAAUUGAUUAAUCGGACGAGAAUAAAGAUAGAGUCCCAUUAUACAUGUUAAUAUCGACAACAAUGAAAUUUAUAGUAAGAGGAAAAUCCAUUGACUUUAGAAAUCGUGAUGGUUCAAGUCCUUCUAUCCCCAAAACGACCUGGUUGACUCCGUAACCUUCAUUAUUUGUAAAAGUUCUUUACUUGGGAGGUUGGAAUAUAUCUAUUCCGGACAUAUAUGUUUCUGAGCUUUUUGAAAUAAAUAAAACAUGUCUUUUGUGAACAGAGACAUCUUUCUUUGUAUCAUUUUCAAAAAAAGUUAUUAAACUGGUUGGGUACGUAAAAGAUAUUCUUUUUUUUUCCAUCACUUUGACAUGUAGAAAAAAAUAUAUUGUGACAUUUCAUUUCUUAUAGACUUUUCAAAUCGACUGUUUUUAUAUAUCGCAACAGACAAUUCCAAUGUUUAUAGUCGAAAAGAAUAGUCACAAUAGGUUUUUCAAACCAGAAGAUAUCUCAUUGUUUUAAUAUUUCUAACUUUGAAUUUUCUUGUUCUUGAUUCCUAUCCAGAUAGUAAGUUUCAUAAACGGGUCUUUUUUAUACCGUGUUUCAUUAAAGUGGAAUUGAUCCAUUGUUUUUUCCUUUCAAUUCACUCGGAUCUCUUUCAUUUCAUCAAUUUUUUCCGUGUCCACCUUUUCUUCCGAAAAAAGGGAAGGGGAAGGAUCUUCUUCAGUGGAUCCCUCUUGUUCCUGUUUAGUCCCCUUCGUUUCAGAAGUUGUUUCUAUUUCUACAUCUGUUUCUUCCUCACUUCCCCCUUUCACCGCUCCUUAUAUUAGCAUUGUUGUUAGUGGCUUUGAUCUCUUGAGUUGGUGGAAAUCAAACACAAAGAGUUCCCAAUUCUUUCACAAAUAGCCAAGGAUAUCUUUGCAAUCUCCACUUCUACUGUUGCUAGUGAAAAUGCAUUUAGCCUAGGAAGAAGGUUGUGGACCCUUUUAGGGCAUCUUUGACUCCUAGAAUGGUAGAGGCACUAGUGUGUACUAGUCAUUGACUUAGGACAGAUGAAGUAAACUUCUACAAUGAACCAAUGAAGAUAUGCUUCAAUUUUACAAGGAAAUAGAAGUGGAAACAAGUAAUCUAUGCUUAAUUUUUCUAGUAAAUUUGUUAUUAAAUGGUUUUCAACGUUAAUUCUUCUUGCUAUUAAUAUGUUUUCUUUGUUUGUAAUGUAGGCUUGACACAAGCUCAAUCUUCUACAAGUUCAAUGUCUCCUCCAAAAGUUUCGACAUCUCAAACUUGAAGAAUUGAUCAAUGGAGUUUACUUUUUGAAAUUUAGUUCUAAUUUUCAUUUGGUUUGAAACUUUAACUUCUAUUUGUUUUGGUUCAUAACUUUUAUUUGGAUUGUAAGCUUAAUUUUCAUCAUGAAUCUUGAUGCAUCAUUUGAAUUAUUGUGUGUGUGAAUUGUGAAUGAUGAAUAAUAGAUGAAUUUAGGCUACAAUGUAUGAGAUAAAGGUACAAAAAAAAGUUUUGCACUUGAAUUGAGUUAAAAAAAAAAAAAAAAAGAUUUUGUCCCAAAACAAAGUGGCAAUUACCAUUGCCAUACCAUCCCAACCGAACUUCGGUAUACUAAAAGAUUGGUACAGUAAUGGUAAUAGAUUUUGUCACACCGAAAGUUUGGUAUGAUAAUUGGUAUGAGAGUUUUGGUAUGGUAAUUGUACUGAACCCACCUAUAGAUGGAAGUGUUUAAUUUCUGAAGUAAAAUGUGACGUUGAGGGUUUUUCUUCAAUUAGUACUGCUUGUUGCAAGUAGUUCCCGAUGUUUUGGUGUUCUUGAAUUGGACUCCUUUUGAUGGAAGGGAUUCUCUCUAGAUCCCUUCCACCAAAUCCAUCUCAUCAAUCAAUUUGUACAUUUGAAAUUUGAUUCAACGGUUAAGAAUAAGGAACCCCUUUAAAAGUUAUAGUAACUUUAGCCAUUAGAUUAAAUUUCAAGGGCUUGGAUUGAUUGAUGAGGUGGAUUUGGUGGAAGAGAUCCAGAGAAGAUCCCUUUCCUCUUUUGACAGUUAAGUAGUCAAACUUCUACUCAUUUGAGUACUUUAAAUAUAUUCCUGGUUUCUUGAAAUGAUUUUGUUUGGGAUAAAAUCUGAACUUUGGGCCAGAGAGAAAGUCGGCCCAAACCCAAGGCCCAGAGGAAAACUUAGGAGGCAGGAAAGAGGCUUUCGGCUGGGCACAAGUUACAAAGGCCACCUGCUUACCUGCUCAAAGACCACAGGGGGUAGGUUAUUCAGUCACUACACAGCCCAAUAAAGUACUUUAUUGGUGGCAUUCAUGUAAAAAAGCUAGUGAGUCAUCACCAAACCGCAUUCGGGCACCGCUAUUGCUACAGGAACCCAAGCUGAAGUCGUCUAUAAAAGGAGGAAGAGAAGACAGAAUUAGAGACACUCAAACAAACAAACAAAAGCCAAAACUCUGCUCAAGCCAGAUUUGCCUUCAACGAAGCUGUAGUCAGCACAAGCCUUCAUCCCAUUCGAGAUAAACCUUCCCAAACCCCUGUAAUAGCUCUGCUACCUUGUUCAUGGUGGUAUCGAUUCAUUUUGUAUCCUCUUCUCCCCCGUCAACCCCUCUAAAAGCUUUCAGACCUCUGACAGAGCCACAAAGAUAGAUUUUGUAAGAAGUUCAGCCUUGGCCGAUAAGGUUCAAACUUACCCGACUAUCUUUGCUCUGUCUUUGUCUUUUCUUUCUUUUAAAAGCACAAUAACAUGUUAUAUAUUCCCAGUUAUAUACAAGUUAUUUCUAGCAAAGUCAUAAUGAAAAUGAGUCUUCAGCACUUGAAUCCGAUCUGAAUCGCGUCAGAGUUCAAAUCAGAUCUAAGUCUUAAGCCCGGCGGGCAUGUAAUUUAAAGAUCAGUUUAAAAGUCCUUGGCCUCAAGGCAUAAAAAAGAACUCUAUUGUGGACUCAACCCAUCCACGACAAUCCUUGAUAAGCGAGAGAAGUCCGAAGUUACUUGGGGCGCAAGUAAUCAAUCUAUUUCUCCGUUUUGUUGCUAUUAUAUCUUGAUUCGUAGAAAAGGCUUAAGCAUGGAGUGAAUUCUGAUAGAAAGCCUCAAGGCCUACACCUAAGGCCCCACGAAGGCAUCUAUUUAGCUUCAUUUCAUGUUGCGGUCUAGUUGGUCCGAGUAUAAGGAUUAACUCUGAUGGGAAGCCUCAAGGCCUAUACCUAAGGCCCUACAAAAGGCACUCAUUUGGGUUCGUCCUACCUCUUGGAUUCAGAUAAUCAAAGGGUAUAAUAGUGAUAAAACUCUGGCAACCAUAAAAGACCAAAUAUGAUACAUCCAAGCGCUGGUUUAGUUUGACAGGAAGCCUCAAGGCCUAUACCUAAGGCCCCACAAAGGCACCUGUUAUAUCUAACUUGGUUUUCUCGGGCGUAUACAUAUUCAAUCAAAGCUUAACACCCAUUCAACAUCUGCCAUACUGAAGAUGGCAGUGGCACGCCUGAGCACGACAAAGUUAAUCUUGAUUGUGAGCCUUAAGGCCUACACCUAAGGCCCCACAAAGGCACCAUUUCAAAUUAACUCUGUCCUUCUCUUUCAGAACUGCCCGACGAGCCUUGCCCGAAAUGUGUCUUGCCCGACCAAGAUCUGCCCGACAAAGGCUUGCCCGAGCGAGCCCGAGAAGAAAGCAGAAGUACGACAGAUACCAUCAACCGACGCCAUUCUCCCAGGGGAGCUGUGUGCUCGUCCGCCAGGAGAUUCCUGCGACGAACAUAGUUUUGGCACGCCCGGUGGGAUCCUCUGAUCUGAAGAUAAAGAUAAACAUGCCAGAAGAUUUACAGUAUACAUUGUUUCAAAUGCUACAGAGACUGAAUGAAGCCUCCCUAGGCUCUAGAAAUGAGACAGGUUUGGCUCCUCCCAAAGGAGAAAGACACAGGACUACCCAACCAGAUGAGGUAGUCAUAGUCAACCCUGUGUUGCCCUUUUCUGAAGCCCCGGUAAACAUGCUCAACAUGACCUGGGCAGAGAAAGGAAAAGGGAAAAUUAUAAGGGAAGAAGAAGAAGGGAAACUAGCCAAACGACCUACGGAAGGGAUAGGCAAACCAUCCGAGUACCCAAAGGCUGCCAUAAUCAAAGGGAUGGUUAUGUGUAGUAAAUGCCAGUGUGAAUGUGAACUCGAGAUUCCCCCAGCUGGAGUCCUUAUUGAUCACGAGUUAAUUAAAAGAGAAGCCCGCGAAAGGCUUAAGCAGGCAACAAGAAAAAAUACUUCCCGAAGCGUUUUUUCAACGUUUAGGAGGUGAUUCCCAACCCAAGGCGUUGUCAGAAGUAUUUCGAAACUAUGAAGUUUCUGACGAGUUUCGAAACUAUGAAGUUUCUGACGAGGCAGAGGACAUGGAAGCCAAACUCCAAAGAAGUACAGAGCAGCUUCAAAAUGGCCAAAAGGGGAAGGAAGUCAGAAGAACUGAUGGGAUAGCUAAUCCUGUUAAGAAAGCAACUCCUGCAUAUCGUGGGCGGAAAUGGUAUGUAGUUGGAAAAGAUGGGCAGCCCACCAGACCAAUGGGAGCAUCCAUGGUCAGAAGGGUUCAAAGGCAGCACAAAGCCUACAUGAAUUCCCUGAUGACCCCCAUCACCUCUGAAGCCUCAAAAAAUCAAAAGCCAGAGAGGGCAACAUCUGGAAGUAGUAGUCAGCUUCGUUGGCGAAGUAAGAAGGAAGUAGAAAGGGCCAACGGCAAGACGUAGGGUAUGGGGAAUCAUGUGCCACAAAGCCAACAUCCUGGCAAGUAUAGGAUCUUAAGAAGGGCUCAGGAAGAUCUGACUAUGAUGCCAACACCUGGUUGGAGGCCAGGGCCCACCCAUGAGGAAACUGUUGCAUCUGAGAGGAGACCAACCUUUUUGCCUUUGGAUCCGUUUGGUGAAGUUCCAAAGCAAGCGCUGUACGGAGACAUGAAUCAACCACAACAGGAAGGGAUACCAGAGCCCUUACUACCAGCCGAUGCAAUGGCUUGGUUAGACGAGUUCAUGGAUCACAUUGGGAGCAAGAAGGAGGACUUGCUCGAACCCAGCAACUUCAACAUCAACAUGACGUAUGUAUUAUCCGCCAUGUUUGGCGCCAGGCCUGACCAGCCCGCUACCAUGGAAGGUGAUUAUUUAACAACUGAGCCGAUGAUGGCUCACGUCAAUGUGGAGGUAGUUACAGAGGAAGACUCAGGCAAGGUUGAAUCCUCAAAAGUACCUAAAGGUGGUCCCCUACGGAUUUACACAGAUAAAAUGGUGUUCAGCCGCCCAAGUAUUUCGUUGGCCAACCACCUGAAGCCUAUAUACGUUUCAGCUCAUCUGGAAGGUGUACCUUUCAAAAGAAUUUUGAUUGAUGGAGGAGCGGCUGUUAACAUAUUGCCAGCCAAGCAGAUGAAGAGGAUGGGGAGAAGCACUGAAGAUCUUAUUCCCACAAAACCUUACAGUCUCGAGCUUUUCAGGUGCCAUCACCAGGACUCAUGGGAUAUUACCUUUGGAGGUAGAUCUGGGGUCCAAGAAAAUAAUGUUGGCGUUCUUUGUAGUAGACUGCACUUCCACUUACGGGGCCCUACUUGGAAGAGAUUGGAUUCAUCAAAGUUUAGCCAUACCUUCUACUCUUCAUCAACAAGUGGCUGUAUACCACGAGGCAAGUACUGAAGGAUCAAGCUUUUGGGAGUUGGUAGAGGCCGAAUCACGGCCGUUCCUCCCCUCAGCUAAUGUUGCAGAAGCAAAUUUCUACAAUCCCAACGUGGGAAUUUUGAAAUGUUUAGGAGCUGAUGAGAACGGCCGCCCUACCAAGGUGACGGCCCGAAAGCUUCUAGAACAAGGGAUGCUCCUUACCAAGGAGGAGUGGGAGAGACCCUGUCUUAUACCAAACUCUCUAUACCAUCAAUGAUCGAACAAAAGAAGAAAGAUCAGGUCAUGGCAGUCAGAUCCCUGAUUAAAAGACUGUUGGUGUAUGGAAAGGGAAGAAGACAGGAAGAAAAGCUCUUGGAUAAAUAAGAGCAGGAGUGGCAGGGGAAAGUUUCUACCAGCCAGUAGGAAAAUGAGGAAGAAUCUUGCACAGAGGAGUUAGAUAAGGCCAUUUAAAUGGCCGAAUGCGUCUACGAUAUAGACGAGCCAGACGGUCUGCCCGAGAACCCGGAGUUAGUUGAAUUUUUGUGUGCAGAACCUGAUAAGCCACCUCCAGAAGUCCAGGAUCCAUUGGAAGUUAUUGAUCUAGGCACAGAAGAGGAUCCGAGACCAAUUCAAAUCAGCGGUUUAUUAAGGAUUGAGGAUCGGGCCAAGAUUAUCUCUCUUUUGCAAGAAUUCAAAGAUUGUUUUGCUUGGCAUUACACCGAGAUGCCAGGAUUAGACCCAGCCUUGGUGGAACAUAGAAUGCCCAUCAGGGAAGGAUAUAAACCUGUCAAGCAGGCACCACGAAGGAUGUCAAAGGAGAUAGAAGAAAAAGUCAAAGAAGAAAUUGAAAGGCUGGUGAAAGCUGGCUUUAUUAGACCAGCCAAAUAUGUAGAGUGGCUAGCCAACAUUGUACCCGUUUUUAAAAGCUAUAACAAAAGCAGUACGGUGUUGUGUUGAUUAUAGGAAUAUUAAUAGCGCCACACCAAAGGAUGAAUAUCCUAUGCCCAUGGCUGACUUAUCCAUAGAUGCUGUAGCAAAGCAUAAAGUUUUAUCGUUUAUGGAUGGAAAUGCCGGUUACAAUCAAAUAAAGAUGGCGCCAGAGGAUAUUCAUAAGACAGCUUUUAGAUGUCCUGGUCAUGUGGGGGCAUAUGAAUAUCUGGUCAUGCCAUUCGGGCUCAAAAAUGCAGGCGCCACGUAUCAAAGGGCAAUGAAUGCCAUUUUUCAUGAUUUAAUUGGCCAAAGCAUGGAGGUGUAUAUCGAUGACAUUGUGGUGAAAUCUAAGACAGAAGAGCAGCAUCUCGUGGACCUCAAGCAAGCAUUGAUGAGGAUGCGGAUCCACAAGUUGAAGAUGAAUCCAAAGAAAUGCGCUUUUGGAGUAAGAGCGGGCAAUUUUUUGGGAUUCUUGGUGCAUCAGAGAGGUGUGGAGGUGGACAAAAAUAAGUCUCGAGCAAUAUUAGAGUCACUUCCACCUACCAACAAAGUACAGCUUCAGAGAUUGCUAGGUAAAAUCAACUUCUUAAGGAGAUUCAUUGCCAAUUUGGCGGGCAAAAUCCAGCCACUAACUCCGCUACUGAGAUUGAAGGAUAGGGAGAAUUUUGAGUGGGGGCCAACCCACCAGCAGGCAUUUGAUAGCAUCAAGGCUUACUUAACUUCCCCACCAGUGCUGGUGCCACCUCAAAGGGGAAAGCCAUUGAAACUAUAUAUUUCUGCAUCGGAAAGAUCAAUUGGGAGUCUACUAGCCCAGAAUAAUGAAGGAGGAAAAGAGCAGGUUGUGUAUUACCUCAGCAGAAUUCUGACCGAGGUAGAAACAAGAUAUUCUCCGGUGGAAAAACUGUGUUUGGCUCUAUAUUUUACUGCCAGCAAGCUAAGGCAUUACAUGCUACCUUGUCAUGUGCACAUUAUCGCCAAAACAGAUGUGAUAAAGUAUAUGUUGUCAAGACCUAUGCUAGCAGGGAGGAUUGGGAAGUGGAUUCUAGCAUUAUCAGAAUUCAGUUUUCAGUACAUACCCCAGAGGGCAGUCAAAGGCCAGGCAAUUGCUGACUUCCUGACCGAACAUCAGGAGUCUCAAAGCGAGGAAAUCAAUAUCCCGGGAAGUUUAGAAGUUGCUAAUGUAUGGAUCCCACCAAGAAGUGAUGUUUCGGGCAAAGAAGAUUGGAUCCAGCAAGAGAUAAGGAGAGUAGCAGGUCUUUGGAUUACACCUUGGAAGCUAUAUUUCGAUGGAUCCUACACUCAAAAGGCAGCAGGAGCUGGAAUUGUGAUUAUAUAAACCCUCAAGGGGUUUAUCAUUACUAUUCCUUCCUACUUGAUUAUCAAGAAAAUACCAAUAAUCGGGCGGAGUAUGAGGCAUUGAUUAUCGGCCUGGAAAUCCUGAUGGACUUGGGGGCAACUGAAGUAGAGAUCUUUGGUGAUUCAGAGUUAGUGAUAAAUCAACUAAAUGGCGAGUUCAAAUGCAGACAUAUCACUAUGGCAGGGUACUAUAUGGCAGCAACACAACUGCUGAGUUUGUGGGAGUCUGAGAUAUCAGUCAAUCACAUUCCUAGGGGAUCUAACUUGGCAGCCAAUGAAAUGGCGCAACUAGCUUCAGGAGUGCCUAUGCAAGAAAUGAAGUAUGGUGUUGAUGUUGAGAUCCAAACAAGAAACCUUCCCUCUAUCUUAGAUCGGAGGUUCAGUCUGGAUGUAAUGGUUCUAGUGACCGAGGUGGAAGAUUGGAUGACACCUAUUACUCAGUAUCUGAAAGAUCCUUCUUCACCCACAAGUAAGAAGAACAGGCAGCAAGCAACCAAGUAUGUCUUGUGGACAAAAAAUCUGUUGAGAAAGACCCCAGAUGGGUUGCUAUUAAAAUGCUUAGGCCUAGAGGAAUCCAUGAGAGUAAUGGCCGAAGUACAUGAGGGAAUAUGUGGAGCACAUCAAGCGGGAACAAAGAUGAGAUGGCUACUCAGAAGGUAUGGUUAUUUCUGGCCCGACAUGGAAAAAGAUUGUAAGUCCUAUGCCCGCGGAUGUGAAGAAUGUCAGAGACAUGGACCUCUCCAGCACGUACCAUCAGUACCUCUCAAUCCAGUGGUCAAGCCUUGGCCGUUCCGAGGAUGGGCAAUGGACUUCAUCGGGCAGAUUUAUCCGGCCUCUAGUAAGGGACAUACUUUCAUAAUUGUGGCAACGGAUUACUUCACCAAAUGGGUAGAAGCAUCGGCAGUAAAAUCCAUAACUUCAGCCGUGGUCAAGAAUUUUAUUGAGACCAAGAUCCUGCACAGGUAUGGGGUGCCUGAAACUAUAGUAACGGAUCGUGGGCCAUCUUUUAUUUCAAAGGAGGUUGAAGAGUUUGCAAGCAAGUACAAAAUAAAGAUGAUCCAAUCCAGUCCAUACUACCCUCAGUCAAAUGGGCAAGCAGAGGCUAUCAACAAGAUCUUGGUCAACAUUAUUAAAAGGAUGGUGAUUGAUAGUCCAGAAAGGUGGCAUGAGAUGCUAGGGAACACGUUGUGGGCAUACCGGACUUCUAAAAGAGCGGGGACAGGCACGACUCCUUAUGCCUUGACUUUCGGGCAAGAUGCAGUGCUUCCUAUGGAAAUCAACGUCAGUUCCGUAAGAAUUCAAAACCAAUUUGGGUUGCAUAGUGCAGAAUAUAUCGAAGCCAUGUGUCAAGGUAUUGAAGAUCUGGAUGCAGCCCGAAUUGAAGCCUUGAACCAGAUUCAAGAAGGAAAGAUUGCUGUUGCCCGAGCUUAUAACAAAAGGGAGAAGUUAAAGUCUUUCAAGGAAUGAGAUUUAGCGUGGAAAACGGUCCUCCCGCUAGGUGCUCAGCUGCGUGGCUUCGGGAAAUGGAGCCCGACAUGGGAAGGUCCUUUUAUUAUUAGUCGGGUUUUGAACAAAGGAGGAUAUUAUCUAGCAGACCUCGAAGGCAAUGAGCAGAAACACCCUAUUAAUGCAAAAUUCUUGAAGAAAUAUUGUCUUACAUUAUGGGAUGUUAGGGAUUGCUAUAUCGAAGAGGGAGCAGAGUGAGACGGACCUUAGAAAUUCACAUACGGUAUUUUGUUCAUCCAAACAUUUAAAGAAGGCAGAGAUGCAGAAAUAGAUAAAAAUACUUAUUUCAUGUCGACAAAUUGAUGAGAUUACAAGAUACCAAAUCUUAUGUAUUACAUUUGAUCCUAUCUGAAAGUGUUGGUGUCUUCAACUGGUUUCCCGCUAUCUUCUUGGUUGAAACCCAAUCAGGUGAUUGGGUUGUGCGGCCAACAUGAGCUUGGUAGAGGACCCUCCCACAAGAUCUUCACCAUGUAUGAUGAUGAAGCCCGACUUAUCACCACAAGUUGUGGGAAGAUCAGUCAUCAAGAGGAGACCGCCUGACCAAGGGUGUUGGAGGUAGAGGGGUGAUCGACCAAAGGUGUUGGAGGUAGCAAUCAUCAGGUGAAAACUUUCUUUUUUUUCUCACGAAAGGGGAGUUUCAGGAAACUCCACUCAAAACCUGAGGAACCCAUUUCUCAGUGGGGAGACGGAAGGAUUCAAGGUGGAUGAAGGGUGAAGACCAAAAUGAAGAAGAUGUGAUGAUUUGAAAAGGGUUUCCAAAGCCAGAAUUUAUAGAGAACCAGAAGGCAGUUUAAAGGUCGCAAGAAGCUCAAAGGGCACGCAUGUUGUUAUUCAUUUAAUGUUGGCGCUUGGGAUCCCAACCUUAACAUCAAUUGAAGGGGGCACUGUUUGGGAUAAAAUCUGAACUUUGGGCCAGAGAGAAAGUCGGCCCAAACCCAAGGCCCAGAGGAAAACUUAGGAGGCAGGAAAGAGGCUUUCGGCUGGGCACAAGUUACAAAGGCCACCUGCUUACCUGCUCAAAGACCACAGGGGGUAGGUUAUUCAGUCACUACACAGCCCAAUAAAGUACUUUAUUGGUGGCAUUCAUGUAAAAAAGCUAGUGAGUCAUCACCAAACCGCAUUCGGGCACCGCUAUUGCUAUAGGAACCCAAGCUGAAGUCGUCUAUAAAAGGAGGAAGAGAAGACAGAAUUAGAGACACUCAAACAAACAAACAAAAGCCAAAACUCUGCUCAAGCCAGAUUUGCCUUCAACGAAGCUGUAGUCAGCACAAGCCUUCAUCCCAUUCGGGAUAAACCUUCCCAAACCCCUGUAAUAGCUCUGCUACCUUGUUCAUGGUGGUAUCGAUUCAUUUUGUAUCCUCUUCUCCCCCGUCAACCCCUCUAAAAGCUUUCAGACAUCUGACAGAGCCACAAAGAUAGAUUUUGUAAGAAGUUCAGCCUUGGCCGAUAAGGUUCAAACUUACCCGACUAUCUUUGCUCUGUCUUUGUCUUUUCUUUCUUUUAAAAGCACAAUAACAUGUUAUAUAUUCCCAGUUAUAUACAAGUUAUUUCUAGCAAAGUCAUAAUGAAAAUGAGUCUUCAGCACUUGAAUCCGAUCUGAAUCGCGUCAGAGUUCAAAUCAGAUCUAAGUCUUAAGCCCGGCGGGCAUGUAAUUUAAAGAUCAGUUUAAAAGUCCUUGGCCUCAAGGCAUAAAAAAGAACUCUAUGUGGACUCAACCCAUCCACGACAAUCCUUGAUAAGCGAGAAGUCCGAAGUUACUUGGGGCGCAAGUAAUCAAUCUAUUUCUCCGUUUUGUUGCUAUUAUAUCUUGAUUCGUAGAAAAGGCUUAAGCAUGGAGUGAAUUCUGAUAGAAAGCCUCAAGGCCUACACCUAAGGCCCCACGAAGGCAUCUAUUUAGCUUCAUUUCAUGUUGCGGUCUAGUUGGUCCGAGUAUAAGGAUUAACUCUGAUGGGAAGCCUCAAGGCCUAUACCUAAGGCCCUACAAAGGCACUCAUUUGGGUUCGUCCUACCUCUUGGAUUCAGAUAAUCAAAGGUAUAAUAGUGAUAAAACUCUGGCAACCAUAAAAGACCAAAUAUGAUACAUCCAAGCGCUGGUUUAGUUUGACAGGAAGCCUCAAGGCCUAUACCUAAGGCCCCACAAAGGCACCUGUUAUAUCUAACUUGGUUUCUCGGGCGUAUACAUAUUCAAUCAAAGCUUAACACCCAUUCAACAUCUGCCAUACUGAAGAUGGCAGUGGCACGCCUGAGCACGACAAAGUUAAUCUUGAUUGUGAGCCUUAAGGCCUACACCUAAGGCCCCACAAAGGCACCCUUUCAAAUUAACUCUGUCCUUCUCUUUCAGAACUGCCCGACGAGCCUUGCCCGAAGUGUGUCUUGCCCGACCAAGAUCUGCCCGACAAAGGCUUGCCCGAGCGAGCCCGAGAAGAAAGCAGAAGUACGACAUAUACCCUCAACCGACGCCAUUCUCCCAGGGGAGCUGUGUGCUCGUCCGCCAGGAGAUUCCUGCGACGAACAGAUUUAUACUCGUAAUGUAUGAUUAUCUUAUACCCAUGGCUAUAUACGUUGUAGUGACCUCGAUGUGCCUCGACUCUUCUGAGUAUCAACAAAGAUUAUGUCAUGUCAGUUACAAGUGAAAAGUAUCUCGAGGAUUCGCCUCUUUAAAACAAAGUUUCAAUUAUCGAAAAGGUUGCUAGCAAGCAACGCAAGUUUACAUCCGACAUGUAUGUUAUCACUUGUAGAAAACUUCAAACAUGAAUAUGAAUGUUUGCAAACGUACAUUUAAGGAAUUAAACACUUAUGAUUAAAAUUAAAAACCGUAAUUAAGCACUUAAUAAACAAAAGAAAUUAUUUACAAACUACAAAUCCGAUAAGACUUAAAUCUCAAAAUUCCAAGUACAAUCUAAUCAUAAUUUGUAUGCCUACAACUUAAUAUAUCACAAAAUAUAUUUACUUCUUGAUGCCAUCUGCAUGAAUUACAGCUACUGAAUUUAUCAUGGUCAUCGAAAUCCCAUCCUUGUUUGAUUGUGUACGGACCUUGUGGAUCUCCACAGUCGUUGCAUGCUUUCAUGGCAGCGUUCUCAUCGUGCGCUUCUACAAUUCUACCUAUUACUUCCCUAUUAACCCACAUUGUGUUCCAAAUCAAUUCCUUAAUCCUCUCUCGGCAUUCUGUCACGCUUAACCCUCUCGAUUUGUGGCAGUUGAGUGAGUACAGAAGCUCGAGUCCUUUCUGCCUUGAAUCGCCCCCGCAACACACCAAGAUCGCUCCGUACACGUAUGUUGCUUCUACGUGACCCUUUGAGGCCGCCCUCUUCAGAGACUCGAUCCCCGCAGGUUCUAUCCUCUUGCUUGUGAAGAGGUCGCACAUCCCUUGCCUGUACAAGGCCUCCGCAUUGCCAAGAUCCCUGCACCGCUUCAGAAACCUCGUGCGUUUUUCACUUGCGCGCCAAGAAACCAGCGGGAACUUGCUAAUGUCGACAUGCUCGAAUAUGUGAUCAUCUUGAGCACUUUCGUUGAAAUUCUUGCAACUUAACUUGGCUGAAUAAAGAUCAUCAAAAGAGCGUGAAGCGACCCUUGCGAGUACUUGGACCAGAACCUCGUUCGGAAGAGAUUGUAUGGACAAUGAGGCGUUUCGAGGUUUCUUCUUCUUCUUGAUCUUGUGAUAGGCGUUGUUGACGAUGCCUGAAAUAAGAACAAAAGACCGAACCAUGGAGAACUUGGGAAGGAGAAGACGAAAUCAGUUUGCUUUGCUGCCGGUACAAGAAGCAAUUAUAUAAUGUUAAGCGCGAUUAUAUAUAGUCAAACAGAUGCGGUCUUCAUCCCUGUAGGAAGAGGACAAGAAACAACCGAAGCCAAACCGGAAUUGGAUUUGUUACUAAUAUUACUUGGAUUUGUUAUUAACAACCGGUUAACUUGUCUAAAAAGGGAUUUAGAUUUCUUUCAUGCUAAUACAGAAUCUUUUGCCCUACUACUAACUAACUAAGAAAAAUUACUGCAUAGCGAAGUAUGUUGUAUAUGGCAAAAAAGAAAUACGGGGUCGGAUUUCAACAUUAUAGUGUUUGGAUGCUCAAUAUCGCAAAAUAUUUCAAAUUCAAGUCGCUGUGAACCAAUAUGAAUUAAUGGGCUAAACUGCGUCACACUUCAACACCAACAUACUUUACAAGUAGAGUUGUAAACGGGUCGGGUUUAUUGGGUUUGGGUCGGGUUGAACCCGACCCAUUAAGCUAACGGGUCAUCUGAACCCAACCCGUUAAGCUUAACGGGUCACCCAAACCCAACCUGUUAAGUUAACAUGUCACCCGUUUCAACCCGUUUCACCCGUUAACCUUUUUUUUUUUUUUUUUACACAUUUCAUCCAAAUCAAUUACACCCGUUCUUAGCAUCCUAGUGCUUGUGCUAGCCACCUCCUUCCUUCAUUCGGUUUGUGUGCAUAUGCAAGUCAUUGAGUGAUUUGAUGAACACCUGGAGCUUUAUUACGAUGCACAAGAAUACAAACAAUAAUUAAACGUUCCAUCGAAAAAUUGAUAAAUAAAUUCGAAUGCCACUUAUAAUAGUUUCAUUCUCCACACACACAAAAGGUCCUAUACCAAAAUUACAUUUUAUUUUGGAACCUGGAAAACCAACUCCCUUUCAAUAUUUCAGAAAAAUUGGGAAAAUUCAUACUUCGAAACUAAAACGAACCCAAAUCGAAACAUUUAUGGCUAACAUUUUGACAAAUUCAAAGCGAGCAGUUGGGAAGGGGAAAGAAGCUCCCUUUAAGCUCAUACAUAACAAAUGAGACUGCAAUUUAACAUAUUUACGACAAAACAAAUCAACCCGUAUUAGCAAAUAAUGGAACCUCAUUGAUUCAUACGCAAAAUGGCCUACAAAAUCCAGAAAACAAUAAGGGUCUACCGAAAAUUGCAACAAUCUUCCAUAAGAACUCUAAAGCAAAGAAAUGAGAGAUAGAGAGAGACUUACCUGAUAUUAGAAAUAACAUGAACUGAUUAGCAGAAACGUCGAAGAUGAAGGUUUUGUAGGGAGAGGGAGAGAGAGAGAGAGGAGCGAGAGAGAGGUGGGGAAGAAAUGGAAAAGGAGCCAUGGGGUUAAAGUUUUGAAGAACGUUGGGAGGAAUUGCCAGUACCGACGGCAAUGGCAACACUUGCGGAGAGCAAAGCCGUGUGACGACGGUGCGAGAGAGAGAGACGUGAGGAACCUGAGGGUUUUCUAUUAGAACAGUUGAAAUUACACAAAAGUCCUCCAUAACGGGUCUUAACGGGUUUCGCGGGUUCACCCAAAAUGACCUGUUAUUUAACGGGUUGACCCGUUAACCACCCGACCCGUUUAUCACCCACCCGAAUGCUAAUUUUAACGGGUUGGGUCGGGUCGGGUUAACGAGUCGGGUGAAAAAUGCCAGGUCUAUUUAUAAGUAAUAGACUUUUAUAGAUGUAUCGAGUUAGCUAAAAGGUAUAUAAAAAAGAAUUAGUUUAAAAAAAUAACUACACGUUAAUCUUGUAAGCAAAGCUUGUCUAAUUAUUUUGUGUUGAUCGACCUUUGAUAUGACAAAUACAUAUAAAAAUAAACAGAAAAGGCUAACAAAUUGUAAAACCUUUUGAAAUAGAUAAAAUUCAUACAUAAAAUAAUUCAAAAACUGAAACAUCCAAUGAGUUGCCUUGGAAAAGAAUUAAAGGUACCAUUAACGUAAGUAAUUAUUGUCAAGGUAAAAUUUAGUUAUUUAGGAAAUAAAUGUAAUAGCUAGUGACGUAAAUAAAUAAAAAAGAUACAUGAGCUAAUGGUGAGAUGCAUCUAAAAUAGAUAGAUUUUUUUUUUUUUUUUGAUCAAAAGAUGGAAAUUUGUUAAAUUUAAGUGCGAACAGUUACAUUUGCAUUUUCUUUUAAAAUAUUAAAAAAAAACUUCAAACCUAACUCAUUUCAAUCAAAACUCCCGCCAUACUUAGCUAUGUGUGCAUCCACCAAAUGAGAUGCACGAUUGCAUGGCCAAGCGUAAAGCAAAACUUCACCAACUAGAACAAGCUUGUCAUCCUCCAAAUAUCGUGGAAAUAAAGAUGAAGUGCCAUAUCAGCCCUGAGCUCCUUGUUAAUCAUUUGGAUCAACCCCUUUUGAGUCCGCCAUAACAUCACUAGCAAUAAUAAUUAAUCUCCAUCCCUUGCCUAAUCGCCUCAGCCUCCGCCAUGAUAACAGUACCAAAACAUGGCAGCGGCGGCGGCUCAGUUUCCAAGUCGGCAUGAAGCUCCAAUCCACCGCCACAUUGCUAUCCUUAUCUAAAGUCAGUUGCUUUUCACUUCACACUCUUCAAUCCUUUCCUUUCUGGUCUGUUUGUUUCCUGAGAAAAACCUGCAAGAAAAUAAAUGCAAUCCCUAAUUGGAUUCCAGCUUGCUUUGCCGUUUGAAAGGGCGAUGAUGGACGAGCGCUUUGGUAGUAUUCAGGCGUCAUCGCCGUUGCCGAUUCCGGCAUCAAAUUCGUAGCCGAAGAUGAGCGGUCCAACCGUCCAAAGACGGCAUAGUAAGUAAUCAAAUUGUUGAUAAGUGGAUAUUAUUGUUCUUUAAUCUUCAAAUGUUUGCUAAGAAAAUAAAAAAUUCAUGUUUUUUUAUUGGUGUUUCACUCAAAUUAGGUUUUCCACUACGGUUUCGUUGAGAAUUCCGGCGAGGAAGCAGAGGCGAAAUUCGAGAAAGGGAAAGAGGGUGGUGUUGUGUGUGGAUGAGUCUAGCACAAGCUGAUUACGCAUAUACUCGAAGAAAUCGACUCAUUUGAUUGUUUAAGUUUAUCUUUUAAGUUGCUGUGCUUGUUCUUUGAUUAAACUAUUAUUGUACGACCAAUUCCAAGUUCGAUUUUCGGCCAAAAAACUCCGAAGCUCAUUUGCUUACUCGUUGUUUCAUAUUUCAUAUUUUGAUGAUUCUGGAAUUGUUCUUGUGCAGGCUUCGCUCGGCCGGGCGUUUGCUGGAUACAUACAUGUAUGGGGUAUGACUUAUUUCUGCUUUAUUGCUUUAAAGCAAGGUUAGAAAGUGUAGGCAUCUUUCUUGUUGCAAAAUCUUCUGUUAUUAUCAGGGAACUAAACGAUUAGUCGACAUUGCAAGAACCUUCUUUUUAUUUGUGUCCUCAAUCCUCCUUCCUUGGCGAUUCAGUUUCUUUGUUAUGCAAUUUAUAACUAAGAAGUUCCUAGUUGUUUCAAAAUAAAAUAAAACGGAAAAGCACGAUCACUCUCAAUUUAGAUAUGGUACAAGUGAGCUGUCCAAGAAAUUUUCCACAUAACAGCACAACAAUGAUCCGCCCUUUUGAUUGUAGUAAGUAUAACAGCCCACUCUUACUUCAACUUUCCACGAGUCAACCUAUUUGUGGCAAACAGCACAAUGAUCGUUCCCCUUGAGCUUUAAAGUGAAAACUUAAUACCAUUUCUGUAAGUUAACACUAGAAACUUUUAUAUUGUUGAUGCGUGAAUUUGGAUCGAUAUAUCAUAUAUUUAGACGGCCAAAUAACAGUCACACAUGUAAACACAAGGAUUUGAGUGUAGCCUAGCCCACACCCACCGAAUUGGCUUGGGCAGCAGCUGCCUUAGUAGACCUUCAAACCUUCUCCAUAAAGUCUCCGGUAUGUUAUGUGGUCCUUGUGGAAAGGGUUGUGUCUCCCGAAAUAAGCCACCAAAUAGAUAAGCCAUACAAAAGAACCAGCAGUGGCAUAAGUGGUUACACAUGCUUCAGAUUGGAGCAACAUAUCCUUCACCAGUUUUUCUCAAAUUCAUAUGAGUUCAUUACCGGCCUUAGUAUUCUGAGAUGUGAACAAUUUUUGCUCUUUUAUAGACAUGAUGUUGUUGUUCGCAUAUCCUUAUGAUUUAGUACUUAUAAAUUUAUAAUGUACUUAUUUCCAGGCCAUAUGUGCAAAUAUAAAAGCACGGUUCCACAAAAAGAUAUAGCAAGUAAGCAAAAGGAGUUGGACGUACAAGCUAAUGCAUUAAUAUCAAGAGGAGGAAAAGUGAGUUGCAAUAUUUAUCUGAUCUGAAGUUGCAUGCUUGAUAUGGUAUGUUAGAUCUAAUACGUUACCAUAUUUUUCUUAGGUUUCUGCUGCCUUGUUACCAUUUGAAGAAGCGUGUAAGCCGUGUGGUGAUUGCCUUCCCGAUUAUAUUGCAAAGGUUAUUCUGUACCUGUUCAAAAUACCUUCUCAUAUCGGACCCUUAAAAUUUUAGUGCUUAAAAUAGUCCAGUACUAACUAUGAACCACAAUUAUUUUAUUUAUUUAUUUGUAAGUUAAAUAUUUUAAAUUUAUCUCUCGCCAAUACGAGUUUUAACCAAAUUAUUAUGACUGACUCAUUACUUAAUAUAAAUAUCUCGUUGUAUUCAAUGAAUAAAUAAAGGAUCUUUGACACAUCUUACAGACCAUGAAAGAAUACAAAGCAAAUUAAGCGAGUAGGCGUUGCCCCUUCCUCUCUUAGUCCAGUCAACAAGGCAUCCAUCGAAGCCAAGAAUGCUACAUAUUUAUGCCAAAUGAAAUUCCACAUCACUUCCAACCUUUUAGAUCAAUCUUUUUCAUCUGCAAGAUAUUUGUGGAACAUAUAGUUAUUUUGAAUAUUUUGGAUUAAUCUAGCUCUUUUAUGUACAAUAUUAUAAUAUUAUGGGAAGGAGGAAUUAACAACGAUGUCAUACAUGUGCAUGGACUUGAACUUGCUGAAAUCCUUGGGGAGAGAGAUGAGAUGGACGGUGGAUCGUUUGUGGAACUGAAGAAGGUCCGGAUCGUCGUAGUAUCGCUCCCAACCGAGCGUGGACAGCUUGCAUUCGAGCACGGCGUAAGAACUGAUGACCUCGUCAGUUGGAGUGUGGACGAGCACCUUACGCGCCCGGGCGUUGGAGCCUUGCAAGGAAUUCGCCCCGUCCACCAACCGGACGACGCCAUUAUUGAAAACCCAAACCCCAGACAUGUUUGGUGAUCAGAAGGUUAAACGACUAAGUAGGCAAAAGCUCAUAGGGAGGAGUGAGAAUAUGUUGUUUGUAUGAGUUUGGGAUGUAGAGUAUGUGUAUUUAUAGGUAAAAUGAAGUGUCGUGAGGUUAAAUUUUGGAGAGAUGAAAUUAUAUAUGGGCAUGUUUGGAUGUGGGUAUAGUAGUGUAGGCUCCACUUGAUUGUGGGGGAGUCUUUGUAAGGGAACCGGAUUCCCUCCGGAUCCAAAGGAACUGAGCUCAAUAAUCAAAUGAUCCGGGCUAUUAAAAAUUCAUUCAACGGCUACAAUUAUUAUAACUUUUAGUGGACCCUCUGUUUGUAACUGUUGAAUCAAAUUUUAAUGGCCCGGAUCAUUUGAUGAGUGAGCUCAAUUCCUUUGGAUCGGUUCCCUUUGUAAGGAUACAAUAAGGAUCAUGGUGUUUGGUACAUGCAGCCAUGGACCAGUAGCAAUCACCUAUCUAAGCGUGGGCAUUUCAUAUAUCCGAUAGGAGAAUCCUUGUGUUUUAUUUCUUUAAUUUUUUUUCCUCCCUAUGGCUUUAACCCCACAUUGGGAAUCUUUGUUUUGCUUGUGGAAAAAUAUUAGGAUGGAGACUUAUUCUCGAGAAAGCUUAUUAGCAAGCUAUACCGAUAUAAUAGAAAAUGAUCAUGAUUUGAACAUUUUGGCUUUGUGGGCAUAAAUACAUGGAGAUAUCAAUAUUUGUAUUAAAUACCAAGUUGAGCAUAUGUUUUAAGAAUGUUGUUCCAGACCGCCUUGCCAAUUUGAGUUAUAAUAUGAAUCUUGGAUGCAAUUAUUUUGAAAAUUCAUGUAAAUGAUUUGGACGCAUUUAUUUGAUUAUAUGAUCGAAGUCUCUAGGACUCGAAUUGUUUGUAAUAAUUUAUUGAGUUAGUUUUGGGUUAUAUACCACCUUAUGUUGCCAAAAAAAAAAAAACGUGUUUGUACCAUACUUGAUCAAUCCCGAAACUACUGAGCACCGGUCAAUGUUAUACCGUCAAGGACCCAGAAGAGUUUCCCUCCAACUAGGAGGUCAAUCACAGCGCGACACGUGUCGACAUCAGAAGCCAAUUACAACACGACACGUGUCAAUGUCAGGAUGAAACUAAAAACUCUCUUCUAUAAAUAGAGAUCAUUCUCUUACAAUAUUGCUUAAUGUCAUUUGUACUAAAUCAUUCACUAGUACUCACUAAAGGAGAGCUUGAACUUAUGUACUUGUGCAAACCCUUCACAAUUAAUGAGAACUCCUCUACUCUGUGGACGUAGCCAAUCUGGGUACAUCUUGUGUUUGCUUCCCUGUCCCUAUCCAUUUACAUAUUUAUCCACACCAGUGACCGGAGCAAUCUAGCGAAGGUCACAAACUUAACAUUUUCUGUUGUACUAAAAUUCUCGCUAAUUUUGUGCAUCAACACAUUGAAACAAAAAAAAAAAACAAACCUAUAACUAAAUGAAGGACAUGGAAGAUUACCAUCUUAUCCUCGAGAGCAUAUUUUUUUUUUCGAUUUUAUAAGGUCCCUUAUAGUCCAUAGUUGAUUAUGAGGGUUUAGGGUUUUAGAAGUUGCAUCAUUUGUGUUUAGGGUUUAGAAUGUUCUUAGGAGGACCUUAGGGCUUGGGGUGUAUGUCUCAGGUUUUGGGCGGAGCCCAAAAUCUAAGAACUAGACUCUACGCCCUAAGAGAUCAACGUAGUCAAAAUUUUUUUCCGCUUAUGCAUGCAUAUUUGUCCGAACUCAUUGGGAAGGUUAAUGGCUAUGGCCUUAUGAUGGUAGGGUUGGACAGUAUUGUCAAUUACACUAGCAAAUUUAGUUUGACUUUUCAACUAGUACGUAAACUGAAAAUACGGUUUUCUAGCUUAAAAUUCUUUUGAAUUUUGUAUUUAAACUAAAAGCUUCUUAUUUUGUACGGGGAUCGGCUAAACGCGAUUGGAUGUUGAUGAGUUUUGAGGGAGAGUUCACGCAUGGUGUUAUAUUCACGUGGCUAUGUAAGCUACCUCAUAUAUCUUUAAGUGGAAUAUUUUGAAUUUAGGUAUCAAAUUCACUUUGUGACACUUAUAUUCCAUUUUCAAAGACAUUGAAUGAUUUGAUGCUUUCUUGUCAAAUUUGUGUACCUGAUUGGUAAUUUGGAUUAUUGCAUAUUAAUCGGUCAGUUCAUAGUCUAACAAGAUAAACAUCUAACUAAUGUUAUUAUAGACAAUACAAUAAAAGUAUAUAUUUAUAGUUGAACUGAAUUGUCACAUCCAUAUACUUGAAAGGUUUGAUUUUAUAUACGUAUUUGAAAUAUCACCUCAGAUAGAAUAAUAGAGGGAAGUGUCUCUCGGUUCAAUAUAUUGGAGUUGGAUGACCAUGGAUCAAAACUUCUUUAAGAGGAAGAAUUUGAGAUGCUCAAGGCAUUGUGUCUUUUUCCAAAUAUGUGAAUGGUCGUGGCAAAGAUAUGAGGUGAAGGAUGGGACAAAAUGAAAAGGAUACUAAAUUCUAGUUGUUGGAGAGAGGGAUAUUUGGGAGUACCAUGGUGAUUCACUUUCUGUAGAAAGAUGACCAAUACGAAUCCCCCCAGCCCCCAAUGCAUGCAGUACACUUAUCUGCCUAACUGUUGACUACUUGCCUCAUUAAUUUGCCUCCAAGUUUUAUGUUAUUCCAUUGAAAAACAUUAAAUAAAGUCCUUAUAUUUACGAUCUUGAUGCAUUGCAAGCAAACUUAAGUGAAAUUAUUACUAGGUUAGCAUUGUGUGUUAGACGAGCCUCUUCUUAGUAGGAAUUCAGUUUUACUGUAGCAAAAACGGGACGAUAGUAUCACUAAAGAAAAAAGGAGACGAAAAAAAAGUAUAUAAGAGGUCAUAUAUAGUAAGUACGUACAUGUUCCCAAUGAUAGUUCCAUCUCUAUUCUAUUUUUGUUACAAUAAACACAAUUCAUGUUGAGAAGUUGAUAUAUAAGCAAGGUUCUAAAAGACGCUAGCCGUUAGUCGGGCGGUGAGCUGGGGCCUAGCGCCUAGGAGGACUAGACGAAUUUAAGUAAAUCUAUUAUAUUUCGUGUAAAUAAGUGUCUGUUUAUACUUAAAAUGUAUAUACUUUCAUUAUAAACUACAAAAUAGAAUGACACAUAUAUUAAGAAGUAUUGGAACAUAAUGAAAACAUGAGGAUGUGUAUUCAUUUAAGUAUUCAACAAGUCUCUUACAACUUAUUGAAAAAAAUAAAAUGCAAAAUGAAAGUUGUCUAUUUUCUGUCUGAGUGAGUCGCAACCUAGGCGGGUGUGGGCAGACAGGUGCUAGGUGGUCUAGGGGGGGCACCUAAGCAGGUCUAGGCACCAUUUCUUAAUUUUCAAACGCUUGGGCAUUAAUCGAGACGGUGGUCAACCGCCUAGCGCCUAGGCAAGGAUUUUUAGAACAAUGUAUAUAAGGUUAGCAUUCUAGAUAUAUGAACAAGUACAAAGAGACACCCCUACAGUUUUUGGCAUUUUCUAUUUUGGCUAGGUACUUAGCUAGGGUUAUUUGUCUUAGGGGACUAACCCAAUAACUUGGAAACUGGAAAUUUCCGAAAAGCUAGGCAGUGAAGAAUCCAUCUGAUUUGGGAAAAAAGUCGGUAAAACUUUCAAAACCUGUUAGCUGAUGGUGAGUAUAUCCAGUGUGUAUUUAAACCGUGCUUGUCAAAAACUCUGGUCUUGUCCUAAUUCUUUCAUCAAAACUGGCAUCAUUAUGCCGUCCACUAUUGACAGCACUGGAGGAUGUCUUUGUUCCGGGAGGAGGAAACGGAGAGUUACUUAACGUGGUUAUAUUAUUCCUUUCGGACCCCUCUGUGGAUGGUUCAAUGCUUGAUAGAAUCCGCUUGAGCUGAGGGCGCUGGCAGAGUAUUCGACCAUUGUUCCAUUUUGGGAAAGAAAAGGAUGCUGGCAUACUAUCCUGCAGAAAUGUAUAAGCAGCCUUUGCAAUCGGUAGUUCUUGUGAUAUGGAGCUUUUCUCCAUCUUCUCUCGUCUGAUCAAAUAAAAAACACAUCACCCGUAGUCAGACAAGGUGAAGUAUGCAAUACCAAUGACAAAGUUACGAAAACCCUAAAUUCGAUUUGUAUUUCCUAAAUAUAGCCUUUCACGUUUUUUUUAUUCUCACCUACCUAGACCAUAUAAAUCCUAGCCAACCCAGACCAUAUAAUCCCUAAGCAAGUUUUGAUCAAGUAGGCUUUUAGAAGAAGAACAUCAGAAAAGAAAUUGUACAAAGGAAAGAGCAGCUUACAAUACGACGACAGUUGCAAGAUGGGGUAGAUCCUCGCCAUUGAGGAACAUCUCAUACAUAUUGUUUAGCCAAACUGACAUUGCUGUAUAUGCACCACCUUGCCACAUCCUGCAAAAUGGUCAACGUCAAGACUGAAAUAAAGCUAAGUAAGAGAAAGAACAUGGCUAGAAAGAGACAAAUUCUCCAAUACCUGUGCACAUCAACAAACGCCACAAGUUUAUUUUUACGAAAAAGUUCAGGAAAAAGUUCUUGCAUGGUGUUAUAUUUGCUUGGCUAUGGAAGCUACCUCAUAUACCUUUAAGUGGAAUAUUUUGAAUUUAGGUAUCAAUUCACUUUGUGACGCUUAUAUUCCAUUUUCAACGAUAUUGAAUGAUUUGAUGCUCUUUUGUCAGACUUGUAUAACCACCGGAUUGGUAAUUUGUAUUAUUGCAUAUUGAUCGAUCAAUUUAUAGUCUAACAAAAUAAAUAUCUAACUAAUGUCAUUAUAGACAAUACAAUAAGAGUAUAUAUUUAUAGUUGAACUGAAUUAUCACAUCCAUAUACAUGAAGGGUCUGAUUUUAUAUACGUAUUUGAAAAAUCAUCUCAAGUAGAAUAAUAGAGGGAAGUGUCUCUCCGUUUCAAUAUAUUGGAGUUGGAUGACCAUGGAUUAAAACUUCUUUAUGAGGAAGAAUUUCAGAUGCUCAAGGCAUUGUGUCUUCCAAAUAUGUGAAUGGUCGUGGCAAAGAUAUGAGCUGUGAAGGAUGGGACCAAAUGAAAACGAUUCUAAAUUCUAGUUGUUGGAGAGAGGUGAUAGAGAUUUUUACCACCCAAACUUAAAUCACACAUUGUUCUCAAGGUGUGAAAAUAGGAGAAAAGUAAAAAUAAACUAAAACAUCAAAAUAAAAAUAAACAACCACCUUAUAUUACAUAAAAAAAUAGUCAUUACUGACGAAGAAGCACAUAUUUUAUGGUUGCAAAAGUGCAUUUCCAACGAAACUUGAGCAUUUCCGUUUUAAAAAACACAUUUUGAGACCAUAAAAUAUGGGUCGUCGGAAACAUGCCAUGAAACAAAUUUUUAUUACCAACUCCCAUAAUGCCUUUGGAAAAAGGCUCAAGUUACGUCCGAAAUGCACUUUUGUUUGGCGGGAAAAAUUGGCUCCAGUUGUAUUAAUGACGAGUAAAGUUCUUAUCAGAAAUAGAAUGAUUAUUUCUGAAGGUUCAUGUUGACAAAAUUGAUUUAGUAUUUUCGAGGGAAAAAAAGUCUUCCCGGUAAUGUUUUAAUGUUUUGAGGGAAAAAAGUCAUUUUGGUAAUGCUUUUAUAUUUUUGAGGGUGAUUAGUUGUUGUCGGAAGUAAUCAUAUUUUUUCUGACAAAUUUUUUUCAACAAACACUUGGAGUUUAUUUUAUACUUCCAUUAAGUAGAACAAAAUAUCCACUAGUGCAAAUAUUUUUAAUUGAAGAUUGAAUUCGUUCAUUGUACUCUUAUAGGGUUGAGGAGUGUAUUUGUAAAAAAUCAUCAAAAUACGAGUUAAAAUAACCGUUAAAUCGUGAGUUUUCGUUUAUAACCGUCGAAAGGUUUCGUCUCGUUACCUAAUAUCUGAAUGUCCGAUUUUUGCAAUUUUUUACAUAUGUGAUCUUAGAGCAUUUACAAAUAACUUUGAUGGUUGAAUCGUUGAAACUAGUUUUGUAGAAUGUGUAUUCCUUCAAAACGAUAGAUUCAACAAACACUUGGAGUUUAUUUUAUACUUCCAUUAAGUAGGUAUCCACUUGUGCAAAUAUUUUAAAUUGAAGAUCGAAUUCAUUCAUCAUACUCUUGUAGGGUUGAGGAGUGUAUUUGUAAAAAAUCAUCAAAAUCGGAGUUAAAAUAACUGUUAAAUCGUGAGUUUUUGUUUAUAACCGUUGAAAGGUUUCGUCCCGUUGCCUAAUAUCCAAAUGUCUGUUUUUUGCAAUUUUUUACGUAUGCGAUCUUGGAGCAUAUACAAACGAGUUUGACGGUUAGAUCGUUGGAACUAAUUUUGUAGAAUGUGUUUCCUUCAAAAUGAUAGAUUCAACAAACAUUUUGAGUUUAUUUUAUACUUUCAUUAAGUAGAACAUAAUAUUUUGUGGUAUCCACUAGUGCAAAUAUUUUAAAUUGAAGAUCAAAUUCAUUCAUUGUACUCUUGUAGGGUCGAGCUUGAUAUUACGAGCGAUUAUAUAUAUAUAAAUAUAUAUGUUUUUUUUUUUACAUUCUACAACAAUAGUUAAAUUUUAAUCUAUGGUUUAUGAGAUUAUAGUAACAAAUUUCGGAAUUGACCUCUUCUCAAAAGUUGUCGAAGUUAAUAUUACGAGCGUUUGCAUAUUUUUUUGUACUUCUACAUUAAUUAAAAAACUAUUAAAAUCUUAACUACAAUAAUAGCUAUAAGAUUUAAUCUUAUAUAUGUGAGAUUAAAUCCUUAUCGCUGUUCUAAAAAUCCCCGCCUAGCGCCGCCUAGGCGUUAGACGGCUGGCCACCGCCCCGAUUAAUGCCUAGGCGUUUGAAAAUUAAAAAAGGACGCCUAGACCUGCUAAGGCGUUCGCCUAGACCGCCUAGGCACCCACCUAUUUUGCCCAAACCCGUCUAGGUCACGACUCACUUAAACAAAAAAUAGAUAAUUUUCAUUUUGCAUUUUAUUUUUUUUCAAUAAAUUGUAAGAGAAUUGUUGCAUACUUAAAUGAACACACAUUAUAUCAUUGUUCCACAUAUUUUCAUUAUGUUCAACACUUCAUAAUAUAUGUCACUCUAUUUUGUGGUUUAUGAUGAAAUUAUAUAUAUUUAAAGUAUAUGCAGACACUUAUUUAUAUGAAAUAUAAUAGAUUUACUUAAAUCCACCUAGUCCGCCUAGGCGCUAGGCCCCAGCCCGCCGCCCAACUAGCACCUAGCAUCUGUUAGAACCUUGAUCCUUACCGUUGAAUUUAAUCUAGCAAUUAAAUCAUAAAAGUGUUUUUGUUAUGGUGCCCAAAAACUAAACCAUAUUUCCAAAGAGAACGCCAUUUAGCGCUCUCUCCUCAUUUUCAUUUCUCUCUCACAACUUCUCUGCCUUUCUUUUUUCAGAAACAAAACCCUAGCCUUCAUCCUUCAUUUCUCAAAAUCUCUCGUAGCUUCUCUCUCUCCAUCGCUUUGUCGCAAUCCAUGGUCUCCUCUCCAUGUCGCUUGCUGCCCACCACCGAAAAUUCAAGAACCCAAGAGAUCCAUUCCAACAAAACUCAAAUCCACACCUAAUCCUCAUCUCGCAGACUCACGAGACCACCGUUUUCCGGCCAAUGUUCUAAGGUUGAAUAUGUUUCAUAUUUUUAUCAUUUUUCUUUAUAAAUUUGGAUUUGAAUUUGCAGGUACUUGCCUCUAAUAGCCAUCCACAUGCACAUCUGUACUCCACCACCUAUAAUUUGGGUAAACUUUAGUUCUAACUUUUCUAGAUUGAUAUGUAUUUGUCUCUUCAAAACUGCCAUCAAAAGCUUUGUUUAUGGAGCAAAUUUCCCCAAUUUCGUUGAAAACCUUAUAAAUUCAGCCUUGGUUUUGCCAUUAUUUUCACCUCCGAUGCUCACUCCAUUGAUUCAUCUGUCCAUUGCCCAGCAAGCCCUGGUAAGGGUUUUUAGGAAGGCAGCGUUAGACAACGCAUAUGAAGCAGAAAAAGGUAAUAGUGGCGGAGACGGCUCGGUGUGUGCUUGGGAAAUGAGGCAAGAUUGUGGAGAAGAUUAGCCAGGAGAGUGGAGCCCACUUUAGGAUUUUUCCCAUAGACCAGAUUCCGCCAUGUGCAUCCCCUACAGAUGAGUUGAUUCAGAUAAAGAAUGCUUCUUUUUUUUUCGGUUCAGUUGCUUUCGUUUACUUGCAUUGGAGAUGAUAGAAAUGUUGGUACUUUGUAAUUGUGUGCUUUUUAGGUAGCUUAUUUCAAAGUUAUUGGUUUAGUAUCUUUAUAUAUGCAGAAAUGAAUUUCUUUGAGUGAUUAGACUCGUCAUGUCUGCAUAAUGACUUGGUGUGAUGUGUAAGUCCCACCGAAGUUCUUCUGAAUACAAUGAUGUAUAUUCGUGCUUAGACCUAAAUGUUAGCGAGUGCUCUUCAUAUCUUAUUACAAAUAUGCAUAAAUGAGGAAGACCACAUUAUGAAUUUUCGCUAAAACUACAGAGACAUGAUUUCCAUUACUAGACGUUUUCAUCCAGGCAAAGAUGGUAGGACUUUAACUCAAAACAUGCCCAAGGGCAAAGAAAAGGGUUAAUAAAUACAAACAGGACAAUGAUUGUUAACAUUACGAGGGAAGCAUGCUUCAUCUACUGUGGGGAUGCAAAUAACAUGUUUUGGUUUUGUUGUGCUAGUGCAUUACUCAUGGCUAUAUUCCUGUUUGUUUGAUAUGCAAAUAACAGAAGACUUUUCAAUUGUGAAGAAAGCACUUUUAUUUGUUUCAGGUUGUCUUUAGGAUAACCCUAAGGUAGAUGUAGCUAACUCUGGUGCUACCAAAAUUUUAGGGGGAUCGAGUCACGGAACUGGUAUACCUGCGCAAGUUGACCCUAUUGCUCAUUGGGGCUUUGGGCCUGGCUUUAAUGCAUCAGAUUAUCACUCAAGGAAUUAUUCUUCUAAUCCUGAGCCUGAAAAUAUUGGAAGCGAUAACAUAAUGGCUAUGUUAUGUCAUGUUGAUAAGGUUGGUAGUCUGAUAGAGAAGGGUGGAAGCUCAGAGUACAACACUGGUGAGUACAUGCACGUCGAUUUGGAUGCUCUUCUCGACAUGUCCACUAAUGAGAUCGUCAAGCUCUUCCCCGCCAAAGCUCACAAAAGGUAAUAAACAAAUUUCUCGAUUCGAUUUAUUGGUUUGAUUUUUGGUUGAUUUAUGAAUUGGGUUUGAAUUGGAUAGCAUGUUGGAAUAUGUAAUGCAGUGUGUGGGUUAUAGUAUUAGAAUAUUUAAAGUAUGUGCUAGCUUUGUGGCUGGUUUUGGAUCUCAGCAUGUGUGUGGUUCAGUUUAACCUCUUUGUGAACUUGUGAUUUGGCAUAUACUUUAACUUCUCUGCUAACUUGUGAUUAUGGUUCAGUUUAUGUGAUAUAGUUGUCCUUAUAAUCCUGAAACUGUGAAACAUCAGAAUUGUUAAAUUGUGCAUAUAGUUUUACUUUCCUUAUAUUUUUUAGAUUAUUUGGAUUUAUGAGCAUUCUCUGAUCUUAGGGUGGUAAGAGAAAAAUUGAAGAAUGUAUUGGAGGUGUGUUUAAUUUUCACUUCAACUACUCGCAUUAUUUAUGGUAUAGAUUGGUGGUUGCUAUGCUCACACCUUGAGCUAAAAUUAUGCAAGGCUCUUCAUUAGAGCUUAUGCUUAUUUUUCAGAUUUUCAUUGUUUAGGUUUCUUACUAAUUGACAACUAUAUUGUGCUUGAUAUAAGUUAUCAAUUUUUUUUUGCAGAAUAAAGAUAAUAAUUGUGGAUCAAUGUUGGUAGCACUACAUUCAAACUCCUUGACAGUUGGUUAAAGUGGACAUGAAAAACUAGCAUUAUAAGACAUAUCAUAGGAUUGUAACAAGUACUUGCAAAAAUUUUACAUUAAUAUAACACAAUUCGUUCAAUAAAAAUUGGCAUUGAAAAUAUUAUUAAAUUAAAAAAAAAGUAUUUGUAUCCUUUUAUUUUUGCCGACAAAGUAGGAUCAACGGAAAUGUAUAAUUCCAAAGACUCUUGACCCUCACAAAUAUGUUUGUGCGUAUUUUUGACAGUUCUUAACUGUCAGUAAUCAUAGUUGCGACGAUUGUGCGCUCUUGUAAACAACAUUUUACUGUUGGAAACUCAUUUUUCGCCAUAAUGUUUUGGUCGUAAGAAAAUCAUUGCAAAAAAUAGAUGUCGUCGUUUGGAAAGUAUAUUCAACGACCAUACAAGUAUUUGCGACCACACAUACAUGUCGAAGAUAAAAUAAUUUUGUCAUUUUGAAAAAUCAAUUUCGACUAAAAGCUAACUAGUGACGACAAGCCACAAGCGUCGUAAAUGAACAUUUUCGACGGCUGGUAAAAAAAAAAAGUAUUUCCAAUGAAUCAAUGUGUGACGCCCAGAGAGGGCUUUUUCCCGUCGUAAAUAAGUAUUUGUGAUCGCAAAAUGCCUUUUCCGACGAAUUUUGACCCUCGCAAAUGACCAUUUAUUUUGUAGUAAUUGACUAGAAAAUAAAGGGAAUGAACACACCUGGGUUUAAAGACAGGACCUGGAGCUGAGCAACGGCACCAAUUUCUUGAUAAAGAAAUUGAAUGUCCUACAUUGAAAAUGUAUAAAAAGUAUCAAAAUCUCACAAAAUAACCAAUAAAUUAAUACUAAGAUUAGGGUAAAAUAUAUAGUAUAAUAUGGACUCAUCAAAUACCUCCAAACUUAGCUUUUUGCUUGUCCUCAAGCAAAACAAAACUAAAAAACAAAGAUAAAAACUAGCAAACUUAAAAACUUUAUGGGUAAAUUACACUUUCAUACCUCAGGUUUGGGGUCCAUUUCAACCUCAUACAACAACUUUAAAACAUUUCACUUUCAUACCUCAAGUACUAUUUUAUUUCAAUAUAAUACAUCCGUUAGAUUUUCCAUUCAUUAAUCCGUUAAAUGCUGACGUGGCUGCCACAUUUGUGCCAUGUGGCUGCCAUAUGUUUGCCACGUGGCAAAUAAAAUAUUUUUUUAAAAAACCUGAAUUUUCUCAACAAAAAAAAACCUCAGAUCUGCAAGAAGAAGAAUAAUAGGGAGGAAGAAAGAAAAAGAAAAAAAAAUUGUCCUCCCCCCUCCAGCGACCCAGAAGAAGAAGAAGAAGAAGAAGAGGGAGGAAGAAAAGAAAAAAAAAAAAAUUUGACCCUCCCCCCCCCACCCAGCGACCCAGAAGAAGAAGAGCCCCCCCCCCCAACCCCAACGACAAAGAAGAAGAAGAAGAAGACGAAGAGGGAGGAAGAAAAAGAAAAAAAAAAAUUUGUCCCUAACCCCACCCCCCCCCCCCCCCCCCCCCCCCCCAACCCCAGCGACAAAGAAGAAGAAGAAGAAGAAGAAGAAGAGGAAGAAGAAGAAAAAGAAGAAGAAGAAGAAAAAGAGGGAGGCAGAAAAGAAAAAAAAACCUAACCCCCCCCCCCCCCCAACCCGAGGGAGGCAGAAAAGAAAAAAAAACCUAACCCCCCCCCAACCCCAGCGACAAAGAAGAAAAAAAAAAGAGGGAGGAAGAAAAGAAAAAAAAAAUAAAUAAUAUUUUUUUUGGCCACGUGGCAGACAUUUGGCAGCCACGUCAGCAUUUAACAGAUUAAUAGAUGGAAAAUCUAACGGAUGUAUUAUAUUGAAAUAAAAUAGUACUUGAGGUAUGAAAGUGAAAUGUUUUAUAGUUGUUGUAUGGAGUUGUAAUAGACCUCAAAACCUGAGGGGUUACUGUGUAAUUUACCCAAACUUUAUUAAAACUCAACUAAGACAAAAUUUUUAUCUUCAAGUUGCAAUCAAUAGAAAACGUUAAAAACUAAAACAUCUUUCCAAAAGUUCCAACCAAUCCCACUAUAAAGUCUAAGCCAUUUAGAAACAAUUAGAAAAGAAUUCAUGAACUUCGUUUGGUGUAAAGUGAACUAACAUAGCUAGGGAGAUUCGACUAAAAUCCUUACCUUUCGUCCUCUUUAUUUAAGACUUCACACAUAAUAAUUUGGUAUAUAUAUUAUUAUUUUUUCGUUUUUUUUUCGAUUUUUUUUUAAAUUUUAUUUUUCUAGUAACAGUAGUGAUUUAACCCAUGUAACAAGCUUUAGGUCAAUGACUCCCAAACCACAAAGCUUUAGGGCACUAGGCGUAGAAUUAGUAUAUUAUUUGUCCUUGCUUUGUUUGUAUUGCCGUUUAAUUAGUAUAUGCGGAAAGAGACCCCCCAUCGACACUCCAUAUGCAUAGACAAGGAGAGCAGUUUGUUUCGCACGAACGAGUCAAAAGCGUCACCAUCCUCAUUUGGAUUUCCUGGUUUCAAGUUUCGAUUAAGAGUCGAAAAACUUAUCGGGCAGCUGGAAAUCGCCAAUGCCAUGCCUGUGGCGUGUACUAGGAGUUGUACUUGUGUGGUCCACAGUCCACAUCAGGAAAUGCUUGUAAAGCAUCGCUUCAAGUUUCACAAUCUUCCUGCAUUUUGGAUAAACUUACAAAAUCAUUGGAAAUGUACAAAAAUUUGGAUUACACUUUGUUUUUCAUUUGGGUGCUUAAAACUUUCGUUUUCAUUGACAAGCGAUAUGAUCAUAGAAAUUAUAUAAAUUAUUUUAAAUUACAAGAAUGAAAAUUCGAACUUGAAUAUCGAGACGUAGCACAUUGUUUUAAUUAGCUUGCCUCAACUCGUGUUUACGGUCAAAAAGUUUGUGUUGGUUCUUAUUUUAUUUGGAUUCAACUUUUCUUUUGGGUUAAACGUGGCUUCACGUUAGGGUUUUGACCCAAGUCAAGUCCACUGAAAAACGCGGAAGGUUGAUUGGGGAAGUUUGAAAGCCAUCUCUCAGUCAUUUGCUAUGAACAUCUGAUGACCUAUUGACUCGGCCAAAGUCGAUCAUCAGAUGGAGACAUUGGUCGACAUUAGCCAAGUGAGAAAAAUGAAAAAGCAAAGGACAAAAGUUACUUAUUUUAACAUGUCUUAUCCAAAUUAAUUGGAGUUGCGUUCUUAUUUCUCUGAAUCUAAAUCAAAUUUUUUUUUUCCCCCAGUUUAAAUGAAUUCUUUUUGUUUUGAUGAAAUAGUUUAAAUGAAUUUUAUGUGGACUAUUUUAUCCUUUGCUAACAAAAAAUUAACAUAUAAAUUUUAAAGAGAUUUGUGGUAUGUCCUGACUCUAAAAUGAGGUAGACUCCUCUUCCUUUAAACUUUUAUUAACCAAAACAAAUUAAUAUGAAGAUAAUAGAUUAUUUUCAGAUUAAGACUUUUAAAAGAGCUUUAUCCGCAAAAUUAAAUUAUGAAUUCGAAAAAUUAUAAUAACAUAUUAACAUAACAAAACACACUUGUAAUGUGGAUGUGAUCCGUGGGCUAGGCCAACUAAAACAUUAUAUGUCAAUAACAUGUUACUUACAAAAUGUAAGCUUAAUCAUGUUGGUUUGAGUAAUGUAUUUCUUUUUUUGCACUCAAAUUGGAAUUAUUAUCCUUGUAAUUCAGAUAAAUUUAGUGUAAUUUUUCAUAUAAAAAAAAACUAAACAUGUCACUUAUAGGUAAUGAGAAUUGAAAUUAUUAUGAUUCUUCAGCUUUGUUUUCUAUGAUAUGGGUUUUGAAAUCCUUAAAGUACUAGCUCUUCUUGGGUUUACUACACAUAGAAUUAGGACAAAAAAAUGUGGAUUUUUUUUGCUUAAAAAUCAUAAUCCAAUACAUGAAAUUCAUGAAUCAGAUCACCUAGGAAGUACCUAGUUGAUUAGACUUCUUUUCUUACUUACUUUAUUUCUAAAUUUUACAACUUAUUACUUUUUUCAUUCCUACUAAGUAAACAUGUUACAAGUAGAAAUAUAGUUGUCAAAUUUAUCAUUCCAAAUUACACUUUUGUACAAAGAACAUAUUUUAACACAUAAUUUGGCUAGUUUUGAUGACAUCGUUAAUCGAUGACAUAUACUACUUGUGUCAAAUACAAUAUGAGAAAUUUUAUUUGAACUCAUAUUACCUCUUUCUACACCCAACUUACUUUCUACACUUGUAUUAUUUUUAAUUAAAUACUUAAUAUCUCUUUAAACCCAAAUUUACUACCUAAACUAACCUCACAAACCCAAGUUAAAAUGUAAAUUUAUCUUUACACCCAUUUAGAAAAUAAAAUCUCAAAUUGAAUAAUUUGGUGAAGUUUCUUUAUGGGAAUUAUGAAAGCAUUUUGGAGUUCGACUUCUGUGGACAAGUAGAAUAAUUUGGUGAAGUUUCUACUUGUUUAUGAAUCUUCCAUAUACUAAUAAUAAUUUCUUUUUUAGUUUCCCCUCCAGAUUGUAUGGCCUGUUGUGUUUGUUGAGAAGACUAAGAGCUGGUUUGGUAUUGCUGUGCUUUGAAAAAAAGUUGCUGUGAGAAUAAGCGGCUGUGCUGUGAGAAUAAGCGGAUGUGAAAUAAAUCAGCAGAGUGUUUGGUAAACUUUUUUGUAAAAGUGCUUUUGGAAAAAAAAAAAGCAAUCUGAUAGUGUGUCUUUUCAUUAAAGGAGCACUGUAGCUCCGUGUGCUUUUAAAAAAAGCCAGUUUUCCAAAGCUGCAAAUAGCAGCUUCAGCUUUUUCCUUUGAUUUCAACUUAUUCUCACAGCAGCUUCCAAAAUAAGUUUUUUUUUUCAGUUUACCAAACACCUAAAACCCCCCACAGCUUUUUUUCAUAGGUGCUUUUUUAAGCACCUCACUCCCAAACCACCCCUAAAUGUGCAGCAAUGGCAAAAAAGUUAAAAACAAAGUUCAAAUUAAUUAAAAAUAUAUCCAGAAUGAAUAUUAGGGUUUUUUUUUUUCUUUCUGUCGAAUUUGAAAGAAUAUUAGGUUAAAAGGGUAAAAAUCCUUCAGCCUCCAUCCUCAUCUACUCAAUGUCAUUGCUACUCCUCUAUAAUACUGGACAAGGAUUGUCUGCCCUCCUAGUUGUGGUGCCCUUCCAUGCCCUCCUAUUUUGUGCGGUCACGGUUAAGCCACGUCAACAUUUUAUAUUAAUUUUUUAAUGAGAUAAUAAGACAAAAAAUAAUAAAAAUAUAAAAUAUUAACGUGGCUUAACCGUGACCGCACAAAAUAGGAGGGCAUGGAAGGGCACCACAACUAGGAGGGUAGACAAUCCUUGUCCCUGUAUACUUCUCCAUAUAUAUCUAGUAAAAAUGAGAAAACAGGAGGAAGAAAAUAAUAUUUGCCAAAACUGCAUGAAAGGACGAGAGAAACGUGGAAUUAUAAUAUUUGCCAAAAAUGCAUGACAGAGAUGAGGCAAGUAGUAUAUGCAUAAACCUUCAAGGAAACCAAAUUGGCAGGGGAAACCAAACUGCAUGAAAGAAUGAGCUGAAAUGAAGGUAGGAUAAACAUUGUAUGAUGACAGGAUUUAUUUUUUUGGAGUGGGUUUAUUGAUAAAUAUUAGUUUUAUUGUUAAUUACAUUUGUACUUGUUGGUAAUUAUGCAAUAGGGAAAAAAACAAUUCACAUUUAAAGUUUAAGUUUGAUGUAGAAAGAGGUUAUAUGGCUCCAAUUAAAAUUUCUCAUACAAUAUUAAUAGCACUAUGUGUCAACUUGCCCACAAAAUUCCUCCUCUAGGUGGGAAUUAUUAUUGCUAAUUAUCUGACCUUAUUUGGAAAUAUCUCUGAAUAUAUCCACUAAAAAAACUCUAUAACCAUGUUGCAAAACUCUCAACAAAUCUAAAGACAAAUCUUAACAAUGAAAAUUUUGAAAUUGAUUUUAAAAUAACUAAAAGUGUUUAUUAUGAAAAUAUUUUUGGUAAUUAACCAUCAGUAAAAAUACAAGUGAAUCUUCAUAAAGCACUUGAAGUUCUUCUUGCAAGAAAUCAGAAAGUAUUUAAGUGCUUUAGAAACUCAUAAAUAUUUUCUCUAAAAACGCUUUUAGUAUUUUAAAAACACUUUUAAAAUAUCCCUCUAAAAAAACCACAGCCGAAAUUAAAGUUUUGCAUCAAAGUUUCAUUUGCUUUGUGAAAAAAUCCAAUCAUGUUGUUAUAUUCUUGUUUGCACCAUAGCAAGACAUUUAUACACUGCAAGAUACAGAUCACACACCCCAUUAUUGCCUUCCAAAAAGUCACAUCCCGCAAAUACCCUUUACAACCCCUUACGCGUUUUCUGAAAUCUGGCUUUUUUAUUUUUUUAUCACAAUAAUUGUUGUGGCAUAUAUUCUUAUCAAUAUUGUGGUUGUGUAAAUCCUAAGUAGCGAUAGAAUAUGAAUCUUUUGGGAUCUAGAAGAUCUUUCCCAAUAGACUUUGUAUUAUUUGGAGAACAAGUUUUUCUCCUCCUUAUUACUAUAAAUAAAGGCAUAAGGACUGAGGAAUUAACACACAAUUCCUCAUACCUAUUCUCCACUCUCUUUCUCUCUACGCCGCAACCCUCAGUUAAAGAUAGGUCACAAUACGUUAUCAACACGCUGUGCUAAAAAGAAUUUAUUCGUCUUCAAUGAGGGGAGUAUUACGUUUCAAUUAUUUUAAUUGAUUAAAUUUUGAUUUUAUUGAAUUCAUAUACUUUUAUUGAUUCAAUUUAUUUUUCUUGUGUUAAACGUGAUACAAGUUUUGAAGAUGGAAAGUUGAAACCCGAAGAAAGAACUCCUACAAACCUGUUCACAAUAUUCAUCAGGCAAUCCAGGUUCUUUUAAAACAAUGAUAUUUUUUCAGCUUUGAUUGCAUGAACUUUCACCAUAAUGCAUGACCAAACUUUACGUUUUACGAAUUUUAGAUUCUAAAUCAAUUGUUUAUGCAUUAUAUCCAUAAUAUAUAAUAUAUAAAGCGAGAGCCCCACAUUGGGGUCACAGCUUCGACAAAAAACAAUAUGACAAAAUUGCCCCUCAACCAAAAAAAUCCAAAAGAAGCCCAAUAUAAUAUAUCAAAUAAUGCAUGGGUAAUUUGGUAAUUAUAAAAUAUAAUAUAAAUAUAAGUGGGAAGAGAGAAAAGAAUAAAAAAAAUGGAAGGAUGAGUGAAAGUUGAUAGUGCCCACAUGAAGGAAAAAGAAAAAUAUAAUAAAAAAUAAGAAAAAUCAUGAAUGUUGUGUUUAAAACAUCUUAAGAGGCGUGUAAUGCUGGUUAUAAAAAAAAAGGUCUUUCGGACGCGGAUAAUAAUAUGAUUAAAUAAGUUGUCAAAUGAUUUUUUUUUUAACAAACGAUAUUAUCUACACUAAGGGAAAUGAGGUGGGUUUAACCUCACAAUGUGCUAGCAAUAAUGUGAUUCAAUCAGUUGUUUAUUAAAUAUUAUUUUCUUUAUAAAAAAAGGUCUUUCGCACGGGGAUAUUAAUGUGAUUAAAUUAAUUGUCAAAUGAUUGUUUUUUUUUUUUUAACAAACGAUAUUAUCUACACUAAGGGGAGGGGGUGUGCUUAUCCUUACAAUGGACUAUCAAUAAUGUGAUUCAAUCAAUUGUUUAUUAAAUAUUAUUUUCUCUAUUCUUAAUGUAAAUUAUAUAGAAACCGAUUUUAUUAUGUGAAUUCAGCUGCUUUAAUUGGUUUAUAAGGGGUUUCUUUUAGCAUGAUAUAAAAUUAUUCAUUUACUUCAAAUAUUUGACUUUUCUUUUGUCAAUUUACGCACAUCAAUACAUUUAAAACAUGUAAGUCGUGCGUAGCACGCUGUGAUUCAAAAAAUGCAUUUUGUAAUCGCGUGAGCGCAUGCAUGAAGGCUAGUAUUGCUAUUAUGUGAAUUGAAUAUGUGUGAAUAAGUAAGAAAAAGAAAAAAAGGAAACCCUAGAACUCGACUAAGGCCUAGAAACAUGGAUAUAUAUAUAUAUAUGUUUCAAUUUGGGCCUAAUCUAUGGGUGCCCAGUGCUUGAGCAUUGAGCUCGCGUUGCACCUGUGUCUACACCAUGGCUUGAAGCCCACGACUGCACUAAGUCGCCAAGCAGCUCCUGGCCUCAGCGUACAAACUACGUCGUUCAUGGCGUUUUCAUCCUCUAGCCCCCUGCACCUCGACAUAAUUGAGGACUGCGCCCGCAACCACAACCAUCACCAAAUCUCGGUGAUUGCAGGACAAUGGUAAUGCCAGAAGUUGUCUACCACUGUCAAUCUCGACGAUAGAGAUUGAUUUUCCUAGUCCAAACACUUCGCUAAAUUUCUUUAGACACCCAUUGCGAUUCUUGAAGCUUCCACAGUCUCGUUUUUCGAGAUUCACCAGCAACGACUUCAACCUCUGUGAUCCAUGCUCGUCGCCGUCUUUUAUGAUACCAUCGGCCUACAGUUUUUCAUAGACCUGCUGCAUCAGCAGCCUGCCUAGCAGCCCAUUAUAUGGGCUCAUUCUCCAAUUUUAUUUUAUUUUGGGCUUUCAACCUAUUUUUUUCCAGUUAGACCUGUAAUCCAAUUCGUGUGAAAAAAAUUGUUUUCUCUUGAUUUAUAUAUUUUUGUCUUGUAUAUAUUGCGUUUGUUUACAGGUUUUAUGAGCCUGAAGUUCAUACUUCCGAACCCGAAGUUUCAAAAAAAGUGCCAUAGAAACCUAAAGUUUCUUAACGCGCAACACUCAUGUUGAGACCAUAAAUUCUACAUGCUUAAAUCCGUUUAAACCAAACCAUGUCUUAGAACCUGAAUGUUCUAACUUUCAUGUUUAUGGAAAUUUUAUUUCCUAAAACACCAAUCACAUUCAGCGUAUUGUCGAACCUUAACAAGUUUGAUUUCACUGAUUUGGAAGUUUUGAACAAGAAACUAUUUUAUGUGAAUACAAGACGUGACACCCUGCUUGACUAUUACUAGUUGCGAAAUCAUUAUAGCCAGUUAUGGUGUGGAAGAGCUGAAUAAGUCUCCGCCAUGAUCUUCGUUGGAAUACUUAUGCUUGAAGCAUAUCAAAUGGAAGUACCUCACUGGCGAGGACUCCAUGGCUAUUUGACUCGCUAUGGAUCGUUUCAAAUCAUGCAAAUAUAAGUACUUGCCCGAAGCAAAACAUGAUUGAAACCUUUACGUCCAUGAAUAGGUACAAUUUUGAAGUUUAUAUCCGAUCGAAUUUUGAUUGGAAGAAAAUCUUUCUCGUCCUUUUAUAUCUAAAUUGUUCUUGAAGUAGAAGUAUAGAGAGCGAAAGUUUACCAAAUUCUCGGAUCUGAUUACUACCACACUUGAGAGAAUGGUACCCCAGCAAUUCGGCUAGGAGCUACCAAACGGUAUAGACCCAGUUUCGACUGGAGUUUAUCGAAUGGUGGUGCCCUGCUUUAGUAGGGAUACACUGACAUGCAUGCUCUAUUUCGGCAGAGGUGCACCGAAGGGUAUACUCUGCUUUGGCAGAGGUGCACCGGACGGUAUUGCUCUACUUUGACAGAGGCCUACCAAACAGACCUCUCCAGUUUCGGUUGGAGCCUACCGAACCCAAGUCUGGGUCUGUCUCUCUCUCACAAUCCCAUUUCGAGUUUGUUUUACAAUUUAUGAUAAAAUAGGCCUACCAAGAGGUGGUAUCACGCUCAAAGCAUGAUCAUUGGCACCUAAAACUUCAAGAAUAAGGAAUAAUAUUGUCGAACCUCAACCCUGCAGAAUCUAACUUUGUUUUGAUGAAACAGAUAUUUGGUUAUGCACUUUUCUGUGCUUUUACAAAUUUUAUUGCUGAGUAACAUUGACAUAGUUAAUAUGUGAGACUAAUUUUGCUCCCCCUAACACAUUUGGAAGAGCGAAAUUUGACAUGGAAAGCCUUAUUAGUCGAAUCCCCUUGUAUAUUUGGUUUACUUUAUGAAUAAUUUAUUUUAUUCUCGGAUUUAAGAUUGGUGUUUGGAUGUCACGAUUAUUCUCAAAUAAGAGUUAAUUAACAAAAAAUUACCACAUGUGACUAAUACAAUUAACUCAUGCUUAGGUAUGUUGUGUGGGGAAGUUAGCAGUCUGGUUCUAUGUUAACUUCAUACCUAAUCAUCCUCUGACAACCAUUCAGGCUUAUCCAACCUGAUUGUGGGGCAUAGCACUGCCCUAUAUUGCCUAAUGGUACUAAUUUUACCAUAGGCCAAAUCAGAUAAAUGAUCCUUGUGGUCAUAAGGUAUUCGGAAGAUAGCCUAUGUGCUAAAAAAACUCGGAUUUAAACCCCUGUGGUUUACUCCGUUAGCAAAUUUAGUCCUAAAGUGAUUUUUCCGUUAACUAUCUAUUACUACAUGGGUAAAAUUGUACUUUGACAUGUGCACUUUCUUCUUCCUCGUCUUAAUAUAAUCGAAGCUACAUUUUUCGGGUCUACUCUCCGCCUAGGUAACGAUGGCAUUUGCAGAGUCUGAGACCGAACCCAUGAUUAAGAAAAUAUUUUUUCAUAAUUCAUCAUACAUGUAAAGUUAACGAAAUAACAAAUAUUAACAUACACAAAUGGCAGUGAUCAUACAAAUUACUUAAUCAUCUAAAAAAUUAUCAAAUGGGCAAUCGAACGUAAGGAAGGAUUAACUUACGACAACCUCGGCAUCUUUUGAGGUAAGAACAGCAAGAGCAGCUCUAGGUAUCACUUUCCUCUUGUCAGUUCUCAACUGAUUAGCCCAAAGCCUGUUAUUGAAACUCCCUCUAACCCUCUCCCCCAAAAACCUAGAACCACCAUCGCAGAAACCACUUGGUCUUCUCAAAUGGGUGUUUUUCAAAGCCACAUAGCAAGAAUCCAUUCAUGUUGCUUGCCAACUCUAAUAGAAUUCUAACCGAUCAGAAAUUGAAAACUCAGAUAGCAUUUAAACCAAAAUCCGAGUAAAACCCCAAUCCCAGUAAAAAUGUCAAAGUACAAUUUUACCCAUGUAUUAACAGAUAGUUAAUGGAAAAAUCACUUUUGGACUAAAUUUGCUAACGGAGUACACCACAAGGGUUUAAAUCUGAGUUUUUUUAGCAUAGAGACUAUCUUCCAAAUACCUUAUGAUCACAUGGAUCAUUUAUCCAAUUUGGCAUUUUACCAUAAAGGGAAGCCUUAUACUCACUCGUUCUGGAAGAAUGCGUUUUGAGCUUUAAGGAUAUUCGAGAAUAUUAUUACCAUAUUGAAACCAAUGUAGAAAAUGGAGUAAAAUUCCUUGGCAUAUUACCAUAUUGCACUUCCUACGAAUAUAGCUAGAAACAUAUUUUAGAGAAGAUGGAACACUUAAUAAGUGGAUUACACCCAUUUAGGCCCACUAUAUGGCCGGCCAGAAGCCUGCGAUUCCAAAGGAAUUUUCGCUAUAGAUGCAUGUUUGGGAUAUCUAGGAUGAUCUGUGAUGCGCCGAUUUGGGCAUCCUUUUACCAUAAGUAAAGUCAUCAUACAUGGAAACGUAUCAUGCUUUAGCACCCUCCAUCUUUUCUACAAAUGAUUCAAGGGGACAUUUGUGGACUGAUUCAACCACUAUUCGAACCAUUGAGAUACUUUAUAGUAUUCGUUUAUGCUUAUACACGUUGGUCACACGUGUGGCUAUUGUCCACAAGCUGCAUUCUCCACAUUGGUGGCUCAAAUUUACAAGCUCAGGGCCCACCACCCUGAUUAUCUGAUCAAACCUAUUUGAUUGGCUAAGUUGGAGAAUUUACAUCGAAAAACUUUUGAUGGAUAUUGCAUGUCAGUUGGGUUUUGAAGUUGUACAUAAAGUACCCCAUGUUCAUACCCCAAAUGACCUAGCAGAAGCAUUCAUUAAACGCCUUUAAAUGAUUGCGCAAUCAUUGGUCAUAUGUACCAAGUUCCUGAUCUCUGCUUGGGACUAUGCUAUAUUGAAAGCAACAAUGUUGGUUCGCCUGAGACCCGUUGCGACCUAACCUUAUAAAGUGUGUGUCAGUUGGUUACCAGAUACAAACCCGACAUAUUGCAUCUGCGCGUCUUUGGCUGUGCAGUUUAUAUGCCAUUUUGUGCCGCCCUUACGUACAAAAGGAAAAAAAAAAGGUUUUCAGGGAAAGAUGGAAAUCUAUAUCGGUUAUGAUUCUCCUUCUAUUAUUCGUUACUUAAAACCUUUUGAUAGGCGAUCUCUUUACUGCUCGUUUUGCUGAUUGUCACUUUUAUUAGACAGUCUUCUCGCUGUUAAGGGGAGAUAAGAACAUCAACGUUCCUAAAGAACAAUGUGAAUUAUUGUGGAUGUCCCACUAUGUCUCAUCUCGACCCCAAUCUAGAUCGUCAGAGUAUAAUCAGACACUACAUUUGAUAUAGCAAAAGUGACGAAAUCACAUAUACCAGCUGCAAAUGUGCUUGCAAAGAUAUGUACCAAAUGUAUGAUGAACCUUCGUCCUGAAAGCAGGAACGCCACUAUUGUGGCUAACCCUCAUACAUUGGCGGUUAGCCAAUCAACUUAUCAUACGCUGGCAACGUGGCAGAUCACUCGGUUCGAAGAUUCACUUUCUCAAAAGUGGAGGAACAUGGCAUAAACAAAUCCGUCCCUUGAUCUCUGUCUCAAUCCUUUUCAUCUCAUGAGAUUAAAUACAGAUUACUCUUGAAACCUGAAGUUGUUGGUCCAGUAUACUAGUUUGGAUGAGAUAUGGAAUUGGAAUGAGAUUAUCAUAUAUGAUGUUUCACUUAUAUGGUAACUACCGACAUAAAUGAAAAGCGACAAUAACGAACAACGUUCCGUUGAUUAUUGUCAAUGUAUAACUGAUUGGUUAAUUAAAAGAAUCAAUCUAUGACGAAUGAGAUGAAUGAAAUGGUGCGAUAUGACGCCUUAUGGCGCAAGGUUUCUUUCAUAUGCCAUGUGAUUAAUUGCAGCAUUACAAAUGUGGUUGUAGUAUCUCUAGGAUCCUGAUACAAAACCUACAUGGAGUUUCCAGAUGACUUACAUGUACUAAUUUAAAUAGUUAUAGACCACAAGAACACCCUCUCAGUUCUCUAGAGGCCUUCACUUUGCGGAUGCAGAACUAUUCGGGCGGAUGUGGUAUACUCGUCUAAGCGAAUAUUUGAUCAGUUAGGGAUAUAUGCCCCUGCAUGUACAAAAUCUGAAAUUGCUAGAGUCGAGAAUACCGACUAGCACAUAAAGUCAGACUUUAAGAUGAAUGAUCUUGGGAAAACUCGACAUUACCUUGACCUGAAGUUUCGAGCUAGUUUUGAUGGUAUUCUGGUUCACCACUCGAACUAGACCCAGAUGGUGUUACAUCUGAUUAUACCCUAGUUAUCUGUAUGCUAGAUACAAAUGAGACAUUUAUGGAGGGUAUAAAGCAUAAGGUUCCAUAUUGGAACGUGAGGCAACCAUAUCUAAGUACGAUUGGCAUUUGUUGUACUUAGCUCAAUGCACUAGAUCGGACAUCUUAUGUGCUAAUAAUCUUUUGGCAUAAAGCAGCACUACGCCUACACGCCAUCACCAAUUUGGUGUUAAAGAUGUUUUUCCGUUACUACGGAUUUGAGCUUAUCUAUCCUUAUGCAUCUCAAAAUACAUCACACCCUCUUAAUCUUUAGAAUGAUGCAUACCUUGUGGGAUUCGUUGAAUCAGACCAUUUGUCUGACCGCAUAAGAUACGUUCCCGAAUGGUUAUGUCUUUACCAUUAAAGAACACCAUAAUAUCUUGGAGGUUAAUCAGAUAGACGCAAAACCUUUGAAUCGUUCCAAGACUCACUGUAUCUCAUCACGUGAGAGAUAUGGUCGAGAGCUCUUGUUGAGCAUAUUCAAAAUCUCUGCGAUUUUCAUCUAUCGUUAAGUCCCAAUAACGAUCCAUGAAGACAAAGCCAUAUGUAUUGACCAGAUCAUGAUACAUCUAACAAGUCAACACCAAGGAUAUUGUCUACAUCAGCAUGAGCAUCAGAAGAUUGAAGUCAAGCAGUCUAAUCCCAAACAACCUUGCCGACCUCUACACGAUGUCACAGCCAAAGUCUACCUUCCAGAAGCUUGUCCGAGGAAUUGGUAUGUGUAACUUUCUCACUUGUGAUGCUUAUAGUUUCAUUUGACAGUUUUGUCAAACUCAGGGGGAGUAUCCAGAAUUAUACUCACUUGACCUUAAUGUACUUUUUUUCCUACGAUUAUGAGCAUUUUUCCCAUUGGGUUUUUGCUACCUAACUAGUUUUUGACGAGGCACUCAUCAUGGGUUGGUCAUACCCUUGUGUACAUCAUAUUUGCGUCCCGAAGACGUAUAGUAUUGAUUUAAUGCAAUUUCUCAUUUUUCUCCUUUGACUAUGGGUUUUUGUCCCACCUUUGGUUUUGCCAUAACGAGGUUUUGUGAGUUUUAGUACUCAUGCAUUAUUCCGUUUGUUUUAAGACUCACAUUCGCUACUUGUGCUGACUAGACGAGGCGACUUCAUCAAUUGCUUCUACAUUUGCCUGAAGAUCUGAUGCGCCAUCUACUUGAGUAUUUGCACACACACUCAAGAAGGAGUGUUGUGACAUAUGUUCAUAUCAAUAUUGUGAUUGUGUAAAUCGUAAGUAGAGAUAGAAUAUGAAUUAUUUGGGAUCUAAAAGAUUUUUCCUAAUAGACUUUGUAUUACUUGAAAAAUAAGUUUCUUUCCUCUUUAUUACUAUAAAUAAAAGUACAAAAACUAGAGAAUUAACACAAUUCUUUAAGCCUAUUCUCCAUUCUCUUUCUCUAUAUGCCGCACCUCUCAGUUAAAGAUAGACCACAACAAUAAUAUCAUUAUUUUCUCUAAUUUUCAUCACAAAUGAUCAUCUGGGUUCCAAUUAAAAUACAUGCACAAACAAAUAAUUAAUUAAAUAAAUAAAAAGAGUGGCAAAUUGGUCUUUUAACAUGACAAUAUAACAAUUAUUAAAAUCUCUUCAGGUAUAUAACACAGAGGCAGAUUGUUUGCACUUCUGUUUGGAUGUCUUUCUCAUCCUCUUUUAUUUUAUGUUGUCACGGUUAAGUCAUGUCAACAUUUUAUAUUGAUUUUUUUAUAAAGAUAAUAAGACAAAAAAAAAUAAAAAUAUAAAAUAUUAAUUUAGCUUAACCGUCGCAGCAUAAAUAAAAGAAAAUGAGAAGAGCAUCUAAAUAGGAGCACAGACAAUCCGCCUCUGUAUAACACACAGUCACCAAUUAGACCCAUUAAUUAUACAAUUUUUUAACAAUAAUAACAAAAAAACAGGGGAGGAAAUUAAAUUAAAUUAUAAAAAUAAAAAUUGAAAUUGAAAUUAGCGCCUGCAGCGAGUAACGACGCUACGGCCGAGACGGUAGGGAUUUGCCGGAGACCGAUGUCGAGCCGGGGCCCCAGGUCGGCAGUUGUAGUAGGACGCGCCACGUCGAGAGCAGGGGACAGUGUUCCUACUCAGCGCACCGUAGCUAAUGUAACUCCCCGUGGCUAAGAUGCGCCGGUUGAUCUCCGAGUCCAUUUGCAUCUCCGCAUCCUCGUCCUCGUCAGCUAUCAGUCCACCCGCCGCCGAUCUCGUCGAACCCCAGCUCAGGUCGCCCAGCUGGUGGCCCCCGCUGAAAUCAACGGCCGAAGCUGAAGCAAUCACUACCAAAUGGGCGGCCAGGACUGCGCAGAUGAAGAUGCAGCCAAAGAGUGAUGGAGUUCUUGAGUUUGAGCUUCCCAUUUUUUUUAUUUCGGUU
This 56111-nucleotide long non-coding RNA is filed under the name Malus domestica (apple). RNAcentral describes it as "long non-coding RNA (MDOM_LNC016233)". The record is from RNAcentral. Lineage: Eukaryota; Viridiplantae; Streptophyta; Magnoliopsida; Rosales; Rosaceae.